AUAAAUUAAGGGCAAAUCUCCAAAAUAGCACAUUUCUAAGUUUAUAUCACAAAAAUAGCACUUAAAAACUAAAAUGACCAAAAUAGCACAUUUUUAAGUUUAUCCUUUGAAAAUUUUAAUUUUUUUAUUUUUCAAAAUUUGAAAUCUUAUCCCCAAAACCUCAUUUCUCAACUCUAAACCCUAAACUCUAAACCCUAAACCCUAAACCCUAAACCCUAAACCCUAAACCCUAAACUCUAAAUCCUAAACCCUAAACUCUAAAUCUUAAACCCUAAACUCUAAAUUUGUGACUUUUGAUAAAACAUUAAGUGCUAUUUUUGUGACUUUUGACCUUAAGUGCUAGUUUGGAACAAAAACUUAAUUUAUUGCUAUUUUUGUCUUUUUCUCAUAAAUUAAUGGAAAAAUAGUUUUUUUUGGAACAAAAAAUGGUAACAUGUCUCAUUAAUGGACUUAAAAGAUGGUAACUAUUAUCUCGCACGUCUCUGUUAAUGGACAUAUAAAAGAAUAAACCGACCAUGUUUGAGAAUAAAAAGGGCGGGGGGAUCAUCCGUUUUCGAAAUCAGUCAGAAACCCUAAAACUAGUCUCGUCUCUCAUCCGUCGCAUAAACCCUAGGUUCUCUGUGGAAAUAAUAUGGAAUUAUGGAGUGGAAUGAGAAGACUCUUGAGUUCCUUUCUCAAAGAUUUCUGGACACACUCUCUCCGAACCCGGAGGCUCGUCGUGAUGCUGAGAGAUUGCUAUUUGUAGCCGCCAAGCAGUCAAACUACGGCUUAGCCGUCCUCCGUCUGAUUGCGGAGCCCUCAAUUGAUGAGCAGACUCGCCAAGCCGCCGCCUUCAACUUUAAGAAUCAUAUCUGUUCACGGUGGCUUCCUUGUGCUGCUGAUUCUGGUAUCUCACCGAUCAGGGAUUCCGAGAAGGAGCAGAUCAAUACACUCAUCUUCCCCCUUACGCUUUCUUCUUCCCGUCUGAUCCAGACCCAUCUCAAUGAAGCCCUAGCCAUCAUAUGUAAGCACAAUUUGCCUGCUGCUUGGCUUCCUGAGCUUACAUCCAUCCAGCCUUCACAAAGCUGCUCUUGCCGGUCAUUACGCCUCCGUCAAUGGUAUUCUCCGUGUGGCUAAUACUAUUUUCAACAACUUUAGGCAUCAUCAGGAGGGGUUCCUUGAGAUUUUCGCUCCUCUGUUGCAAGAACUUUUCCUCAAAACAGAUUCUUUGAUUAAUUGCUCUGCUGGUGGAUCAGCAGCUAUGCUUACGCCUCUCCUCGAGUCCCAAAGUCUUUGCUGCAGAAUAUUUUUCUACUUGAACUUUCAGGAGUUGCCUGAGUUUUUCAAGGAUCAUAUGAACGAGUGGAUGGGAGUGUUUAACAAGUGUUUAUCUUGCAAUUACCCAUCUUUGGAAAGCACAGCAGAUGGGUUAGAGCUCGUGGAUGAUCUUCGUUGUGCUGUUUGUGACAACAUUAACCUGUACAUGGACAAGUACGAAGAAGAAUUCCAACGAUUCGUGGAGGGUUUUGCAUUAGCGGUUUGUACACUACUCCGAGAGGUUUCAAAGUCUCCCAUCAGGGAUCAACUAGCUACUAGAGCAAUCAAUUUUUUGACCACUGUCAGCACCACAAGUGCGCAUCAUGCUUUGUUUGCAGUUGCAGGCGACAAUGGGAUCAGUGAUAUCUGCCAAAGUAGUGUGAUUCCCAAUCUUUCUUUGAGGGAGAAAGAUAAACAACUGUUCGAGAUGGACUUUAUGGAGUUUAUCCGUCGAGACAUGGAUGGAAAUACUCGGAGGAGAAUCGCUUGUGAGCUGCUCAAAGGACUCGCCACAUAUUACAAACCACAAGUGACACAAGUAGUUUCUCAUGAGAUACAUAAGCUCUUGAGUUCCUUUGCAACAAAUCCCGCUGCACAGUGGAAAGAUAAGGAUUGUGCAAUUUACUUGGUCCUGUCUCUGGCUACUAAUAAGAAGGGUGCGUAUGUGCGUACAGAUUUUUUUGAUGUUCAAAGCUUCUUUGCAAACUUUAUAAUCCCCGAGUUGCAAAGCCCCGAUGUCAACAGUUAUCCAAUGCUAAAGGCAGGGUCCUUGAAGUUCUUAACAAUGUUCCGUAGUCAUCUACCAAAGCCCUUUGCAAUGCAGCUGUUCCCGGAGCUGGUCCGGUUCCUUCAAGCUGAGUCGAAGGUGGUGCACUCAUAUGCUGCUAUGUACAUAGAGAAGCUCUUGCUACUCAAGGACGAAGGUGGAAGGAGCAGGUAUGUCGGUAGUGAUAUAAGUCCAUUUUUGCUCCAGUUGAUGACGUCUCUGUUUGAUGCACUGAAUCUUAGUGAAUCUGAAGAGAAUCAAUAUAUUAUCAAGUGCAUAAUGCGGGUUCUUGGUGUUGCGGAAAUCACUCGGGAGGUUGUUGACCUUUGCUUGGGAGGCUUGACCACUGUUUUCAGUAGAAAUCCUAAGAACCCUACAUUUAAUCACUACAUCUUUGAGUCCGUGGCUGUGCUUGUCCGAAGGGCAUGUGAACGUGAUAUUUCGCUAAUUACUGAAUUUGACUCGAGUCUUUUCCCAAGGCUGAAGAUGAUUUUGGCGGAUGAUGUUCGCGAGUUCAUACCUUAUGCGUUUCAGCUUCUGGCUCAGCUCGUUGAGCUCAACAUACAACCUAUUUCACCGGACUAUAUGGAGAUGUUCUUGCUUCUCAUCGCACCUAAUCCUACUAAUUCGUGGAGGAGUAGCCACGAAGUCCCAGCACUGGUGCGUUUGCUUCAGGCUUUCCUGCAGAAAGCACCUCAUGAGGUUACUCAAAAGAAUCUGUUGGGUCAAGUGUUGGGGGUGUUCGACAAGUUGGUUAAAACUCCUAGCACAGUAGAGCAAGGCUGUUAUGUGCUCAACACUGUUAUUGAGUAUAUGGAGUACGGUGUGAUUGCACCAUACAUGACGUUUGUAUGGAGUUCUCUGUUCACACACCUUGAGCAGAAAAAGUCUGUCAAGCUCCAGAAAUGUCUAGUAAUGUUCAUAUCCCUCUUCUUGGUGAAGCACGGACCAGCUAAUCUAGUCGAAACUAUGAAUGCUGUUCAACGCAACAUUUUCAUUGCGAUCGUGGACCGUUUCUGGAUUCCAGACCUUAAGCUGAUCAUGGGAACUAUGGAGGUAAAGUUAACCGCAGUUGCCGCGACAAGACUCAUAUGUGAGACUCCAGCCCUUCUCGAUCCAGCAGCUUCUAAGUUAUGGGGGGGAAUGGUGAAUAGUAUAGUGACUCUUGUUUCAAGGCCUGAGCAGGAAAGAGCCAUCGAUGAACCUGAGAUGCCAGAAAUAUCAGAGAACGUUGGAUACACAGCUGCUACCUUUGUGAAUCUUUACAAUGUUGGGAGAAGAGAAGUGGAUCCUCUCCAAGACAUUACAGAUCCAAAGCAGCUCUUCGUGACUUCUCUGGCCAUGCUUUCUGCUUCUCAUCCUGGUAGAUACCCUUGGGUUAUUCGUUAUAAUCUCGAAAAAGCAAAUCAAGAUGCAUUGAUCAAGCUUUGCACUGCUUACAACUGUGCAAUUGUUUGAAAGUAAGUGGGUUUCCUCUACUUUUGAGAAUGUUUUAAAAUGUGAUUGUAACAGGAGAGAUUGGUGUGAGGAGAAAAGAGGAGGAAAUACACAACAACGUUGCAUUGCGUCUGCGAAGAAAAGUGGUAGUAAAAUCAUGUUUUCUUUCUGUCUUCAUUCGGGUGUUUCAUAUCAUUCGGAGUCAGAGAGCAUCAUUCAUGCAUAACUUAAAUUUCUUUGUUUGGUUUUGAAGUUUUCUUCAUGGGGGUGGGUUGUUUUUUUUUUUUUUUUUUUAUCUCUUGUAUUGUGUUACAAUUUACAAUGUGUUUAUUUAUGUCUUUGUCUGCUGGUCACUUUUUUUCUUUUUUUAUUUGGGAAAAUUAUCAUUUAAAUCUCCAACUUUCCAAUUUGGUUGGAGAAAGUCACGAAACUUUGCCUUGGACCAUUUAAAUCAUCAAUUUAGCUUAAUUUAGCUUGAAUAACCAUUUUAUACUUUAAUUUAAUUUGAUUAAACUAAAUUAAAGACAACGUUAAUUCGGAUAACAGAUUGAUUUAACAUAGUUAAUGAGACAUAUUUUGAUUGUUUGAUGUGUUAAAAUGAUACAUACUUUGAUUGUUUUGUUACCACCACCACAACCAAAAUGAUUAUAUCAAACCAUCAUCUACAAACUGAUCAAAGAAGCUAAUUUUUUUUUGCAUCCAGAGUCACAAGGUCCCGCUCAACCUUUUUAUUUCAUAUGUUAGUGUAAUUACUUCCUGUAAAAAUGUUUUUAUGUUGUUACUUUCUCUUUGUUCCAAAUAUAAAAGUUACUUUCUUUUGCUUCAAAUUUUAUUCCCUUUUCUAUGUGGUUUUUCGCUAUUAAUUUAACAUGUCAAUCUAUGUAUCAUGGAUGCUGAAAAGUGUCCAUAUAUAUAUAUUGGAACACAAAUGCCCAUAUAUUAUGUAUCAGUUUAUGGGACUUAAAUCCAUAACCAAAACGUUAUUUAUUAAUGAUGCAAGUAAUAGUUAUUUAUAUUAAAAAAGAUGUUGCCAUUUUUCUUGGAUUAUAUUUUGUUUCAUUAAUGUUUUUCCCUAAACAAGAAAACAAUACACAAUCGUGCAAGUUGACACAUAUUCUAUCUACAACCACUUAAAUAAAUAUGACAUGAAUACUAGAAAUGAUGAAUGACUUAUAGCUAAAUAUGACAUGUACAGUUAUAUUUAAUGUUUAUGCAUAUUUUUAGUAAUUUUUUAGAAUAUUAUAGUAAAUGAUACAUUAUCAUUAAAGUAAAUCUAUUCAAAUAUGACACUGAAUAAUAUAAUAAUAAUAAUAUAAUAAUAUUUUACAAAUUUUGAAAUAUUAUUUAUUUGUGUUUUAUAAUUAUACACAUUACUUAAAUAGAUUUUCAAUUAUUUUUAAAUUCCUAAAAAAAUUAUAACUUUUUAAUCCUAAUAUCAUUAGUUUAUUUUAUAUAUCUAAAACUUUUAUAAAGAUUUUUUAGUUUUACUUUUUGAUAAUUAUACAAGUUAUAUAUCAAAUUUUGUUUUAUUAAUUUAUACAAGUUGAUUUAAUAUAUUUUAUCCAAAAGAAAUAGAUAAAAAACCUAUCUAAGAUUAUAACUGUGAAUAUACACAUAUUUAUUCUUAAAUAUAAUUUAAAAUAAACAAAAUUAUUUAUUUAUCUUAAUUAAAUACUCAAUUAAAUCGAAUUUAAAAUAUGGAUAAGAAAAUAAUAAAAUCUAAAAUAAUAAUUAAAAUUUUAUUUUAAAUUUAAUUUUAAUUUAAUUAAUUUAAUUUUAAUUUUUUUAUUACUGCACAUGGUUCUGGAAAAUAACUAUUUUAUUUUAGAAAGAUUAUCUUAUAAGUUAUUAGUUUAUAAGAAUCUAAUAAUAGAUCCAUUCUAGAACAAAAAUAGUUUAAUAAAAAUAAAUUCGACUGGUUUUGACCAAAAAUAAAUAAAUAAUUCCCUUUGAGUUUUGGUCAGAUAGUUUUGUUUUUGUAAUCUUCUGGUCAGAUAGUUUUGAACAUAAAUAAGACAAACUCAACUCAAAACUUAGAUUGGUCAUCUUUUUGAGCAACUUAAUUCAAAUUAGAAAUUAGGACCAGACCCAGUUGGAGUUUAUGUUACAAAGGAAAAGAAACAGAAAAACAAAGAACGCGGUAGGGUUUUGAUAUCCGAAAGAACUCCGUGGAGAUUCUUCGGUUUUUCCUUCGAAACGAUAGCUCUGGCGAGCCCGAAGGAGUCUGAUCGGAUCCAGACUUUUGUGUAUCCAAGAUGAAUCGCGUGGGAUAAGGCCGGACGUAUCGCCAAUCCCUCCGCGAGGAGUGGUGAUUUCACAUCUGAUUGAUCUUGAAAACCAUGCUUGGCAUCAAGGCGCUGUCUCCUUUGUUGAUGGAUUCCAGGCAGCGUCCGUGUUACAAAGAACGGUCCCUAUACAAAGAUCGUAUCGGAGCUGUUGACUGAUCGUUUGUAGGUUUUGAGUCUGAUUGCGCCGAUGACCAUUCCUUAGCACUUGCUACCGCCUUUGUGAUCACCAUCAAAGGAGAUGUGUGUCUAGAUUUGAAUAGGAGUUGGUUGCGAGCGUUCCAAAUUAUCCAGAUUAUCCAGGAGAAGAUGUCGCCAGUGAUACCCGUUGGUGGUAAGCAACUCCACUUUGCCGAUUCUUUUAGAGCUUCCAGGAAGGAAGAACAUGUCAUAGAGCAGAAGGGCGUGAAGAGAGGAGCUAGGUCCCAGACCUGAGAGGCGAAGGAGCGAUGGAGAAAGAGGUGAUCAAUAGAUUUGGUUCUUCCGCAGAAAGCGCAGCUCGUAUUUUGGAUCACUCCGCGUUUUUGAAGAUUGUCUCCGCGUCUUAGAUUGGUCAUCUUUAGUUACAUUUUAAAAGUUUAAUUGUUUCUUUGUUUGUUGCCGAGUUUUGUCCAAAUAACUUUUCCGAUUGUAACUGUUCGGAUCCUGGGUUUAAUUUGAGGUAACUUGUCGUUAGCUGUGGACUCAUAAUGAUAAUGGGCAAUUUUUAUAUACUAAUUUCAACUUGUCUUGAUAUAUUUGACCAAUGUGUUUGAUUGUUUCACAAGCGACAAACUAAACAGUUUAAAUUUGCUAAAUCAAAAUGGUUAUAUAAUUAAAUUCUUCUUUUUAACAUGCGGUUGAAAUUACUCUUUUUGGUUACAAUGAUUACCUUAUUUUAUUUCAUAGUGUCUAGUGAUGAAACCAUGGUUCUAUGUUAUUUUAUUUCAAAUGGUAUAUAAAAAUCAUGAGCUACAUGUUCCAACAAUUAUAUAUUUAAUAUAAGCACAUAAAUUAGUGUGUAUAUAUGCUUAGCAAGACGACAAAAGCUUAGAACCAAAAAAAGCUGAGAAUAGUGUUAAAUCCAAAUAAUUAGAUAACAUGACCAAUUAGCUUACAAAGGAUCAUUGUUUUACUGUAAAAGUACCAGCUAGCAGCUACUAUCUUUUUUUUUUUUGUCAUUUGGUAUUAUUACUAUAAACAAGUUCAUAUGAUACAAAAUGCCCAAAAAAGGGUAAACACUUAAGACUAGGCCCAAAGAGAUGGGCUACAAGUAAACAUCACAAAGCCUAAAAAGGCCCAACUAACUAAGAUUGCACUCUGGAGGAGGAAACGCCAUUUGUUGAGCCCACGUGCUCGAACCAGAGAAAGAAGGAGACACGCGUCGACCGAGGAACCCGCUUCCAACCUCCGCCGCAACGGAGCUUCAAGCCGGAACUCUGUACCACCGGAGACCAAUCUCAUCAGAGCAGAGCAACUACCAGCAUAACUCACCGCGACCGAGUGAACCACCGAGACAAUCCUUUCGCCGAUUGAAAAACGUAUGAUUUAACUAAAACCAACACGAUCUUAACAAGAGGGUUUGGUUGAAAGAUAUUCGCAUCAACCGAAACAGAACCAUAUAAGUGAGGAUCAAAAAAAAAAAAAAAGGAAAACUGGAAAGAUCCGGUGAAAAGCUAGCCGUUUUCAUCUAAGAGGAUCGAUGACAAACGCUAGAGGCAGUAGCCGGCCAAGCGGCGCUCAGGUAGCCACCGCUUGCCAGAGUCAAAGCCCGACGACGCGAGAGACGAUUGCCGGAGAAACACAUCCGGCGAACUGAAGAGUCGAACCCUCUCUCUCUGAAAGAUAAGAAAGAGAUCACUAGCAGCUUCUAUCUAAAUACGAACAUAGAGUAAAUGUGGGUAAUUUCACUAUCUCUGUGAAACAUAGAGUAAGAAUACAUCUUUAAGAAUAUAUCAGCACUUAGUCAAAAUAAAGAUUAUAUCAGCACAUGCAGAGUUAUAUACAUAUAUAUAUAUAUAUGAUAUUUAAAAACAAGUUUGGUUCGGUUUGAUUUUAGAUAAAAUUACUAUUUAAAAUUACAAAAUAGUAAUUUUUUAUUUAAUACUGUAAGCUACAACAUUGUAAAAAUAUUAAUUUGAACAUUUUAAUUUAGUUAAUUUUUAUUAUUAUUAUUUUAUUUUAUAUUAUUAAAAUUAGGUCAUUCAAUUAGUGUUAUCUAAUAUAUAAAUUUAUAUUUUAUUUAGAUUAUAUUAUAAUCAACUAAAUUCGGAAAUAUCAAUUUAUGUUUAAUUUUUAUUUGCUUAUAAAUUUCCCCUGCCGUAAAUAUAAACACUAAUAAGCAUGAAAAUAAACACAACGUUUUUAACAUGGAUGACAAUGAGACCGAAAACCAUUGACUUAGUUUUAGUUUAAAGUACCAUUGAAUUAAAAGCGUUUUCACUUUAAAGAGGAUUUUAAUAGUGUGUAAAAAAGUUAAGGUAAAAAACAGCAAGAGGGAUGUCUCCAUAUCAAAGUGGUUGCGAGUUGCGACGAGUCCUAGUUUGGUAUGCCAAAUUUGCUCAAAUUAGAGGUAUGUGUUCGAUUAUAUAUUUUAUUUAAUUUAAAUUCAUAUAAAACUUAAUAAAAUUAAUGAUUCACAAAUUUACAAAAUGAAUUUUAAUGAGUAUUUGUAAAUUCGUAAGUCUUUUCAGAUUUAUGUCUUUGCUGUUAAUAUGCAAAUAUUUUAAACUUCAUUAAAAUAUAUUGUGAAAUCAUAUCCAUAACUAUCUAAAUCAGUAGAAUUGAAUAAUACCGAUUUUAAAUAGUAUUUACUAAAUGAAUAAUAGAUAACUUUUAACAAUUUUUAAAAAAAAAUUAUUAAUAAAUAACACAAUUUUCUGGAUUCAAAUUCAUUAAAAUACAAUAGUUAAUAACUCCCAUUUAUAUUUUCUAUGUUAGUUUUGUUGAAAGCCUUGCUCAUAUAAAUAAACAGUUAAGUUCUUUUUUCAAUAGUAUGUCCUUUGUCUUACAAAAGUCCCUGUAUAUAUGUAUAUAUCUACCUAAAGUGUCUAUACUUACUUAACAAAACAACCCGAUUAAUGAAUUAAGUUUUCUAAGCAAAAUUUGUUUUUUUUUUCUUUUGGGUCAAACAACUUUGUUAGGUAAUCAGAGCCGUGCGAAGGUUUAAUGGGGCCUGAGGCGAAUAUAAAAAUGGGGCCCCUUUAUAAAUUUUUUUUAUCAUAGUACAAUAUAUAUUUGAAAAAAAAAUAUUAAGACAAUAACUUUAAAAAAUUAAGACAAAAUUUUUCUUCCCUCUUUUUCAAUAAACUCUUCAGUAACAUCAUCUUCAACCUCCUUAUCUUCUUCAUUGACAUCCUCAUCAUUUAUUUCAUUCUCAUCUUCCAUUGGAUCAUCAAACUCAUCACCACUUCUACCGGAUUCAUUAAGAUUUGCUGAUUUUACAAGAAAUCUGUCCAUAGAACCUUGCAUUGAUUUCACCAAUGCAUCAACUCUGUCUUUUUUUUGUCUUUUCUUGGCUCCUGAUGCACAUGAUCUCGUUGGAGGCAUAUUUUCUGAAAUUAAUAAUUAAACUUAAAUCAACAAAGACUGAAAACUAAAAAAAUAAAAAAAUAAAAAAAUUCACCACUUUAACAAAACUGAUGAUAAUAUAAGAGACACCUGUAGCACAGGAUUGAGAACCAAGAAAGAAGACGUGUGUGCUUGCUUGAGAAAGAUUGAUGUGAACAUUGCACGUAGAAUACUUAGGAAUAUAUACGAACCAAAUAUAUUAAGUAUAACUGCACUUUUUCCUUUUUAUUUAGGAGUUUGACAUAUAAAAUAUAUAUUCUUUUUUUCAAUUUGGAAAAUUGACAAUAAAAUAAAAUACUCAUUUUUUUAAAAAGCAAUGUAGAUAAUUGAACUUGUAUUGAAUAAUAAAUGGCAAACUUAAACCAAUAUACUACUAAUAAUUUUUGGAAAUUUGGAGCUCUAAAAAAACUAUAUAUUUUGGGGGCCCUAGGCGAAGGCCUUUUUGGAUACACUUGAAGCACGGCUCUGUAGGUAAUGUUGGUGUGUGUACAGAUUAUUGAGAUGAGAGUGAUUGAUGCCUUAUUUACCGAUCUGAUGAGCCCAUUGCUUGCAGGAUAAGAGAAUAAUUUACGAAAUGGGACAAUUUUCCGUUAACCCAAACAGUUUGGGCCAAUAAGAGAUCCAAUCAUAUGUGUCCACUCUGUCCUAUGGCUCAUCGGUACUUGUAAAUAGGGAUGGGUGUUCGGAUAUCCGUUCGGGUUCGGAUCGGGUAUUUCGGAUAUAACCGAAAAAACAAAAGCAUUUGAUAAUUUUUUUUUGAACUACUGAUUAAAAAAAAAUUAAAACCAUAUAAUUUUUGCAAAACAAAAACUGUUCAUUCUCAUGCUUUUGUUCUGUAAUAUGAUUCAGAGUAACAAGGAAAGCUCCAUAUGAAGAACGGCAUGAUGGUUCGAGGUGAUUCCGGUUGUUACAUUAACGUUUAUGUGGUUAUCGUUGAUGACAUCAACAACUAAUGUCUCCGACAAAUCUUACAUAGAUUGUGAGAAGAACAAUAUUUUAAGAAGAAAGAUCUUAUAGGGAGAGAAGAUGAGAAAUGAGAGAUGCAGAUGGUGCUUUAAUCUCCCACGUUUAAGAAAAAGAUACAUAUUUAUAUAUAUGUGCACAUGUUUAGGUUAGAAAAAAUAGUGAUUUGGUAUUGAUUUUACAAAAUCUUAAUUAAACUAAAACGUGUUAAGAGAAACCAGUCAUUACAUAUUGGAUGAAAGCUGUAGAUUUGGGUUAAAGUAUACAUAUGUUCGGAUGACUUCGGAUAGUACUUCGGGUUUCAGAUAUACCCGAUCGGAUUCGGGUAUCCAAACUUGUUUAAUACAAUGCCCCUUCGAGUAUUUUGCUAUUUCGGUUCGGAUUCGAGUUUGAUUUUUUUGGGUCGGAUUGGAAUUCAGGUUCGGGUAUCGGAUAAGAUGCCAACCCUACUUGUAGGGGUAAAAUGUGGAUACCUGACCUAAGUGGGACCCAUCAUCAUAUCCCUUCAUUAUAUAUUCCUUUUGUCUUUCAACUAAAUUCCUUUUUGUUAACAAACUGAAUGAUUAUCAGGUUUUUACUUGGGUGAAUUUGCCAUCUAACCAAGUUUGGAGUCAAAAUUAAGUAAAUAGCUUUGAUUUUGACGUUAUUAAAUUGAUAACAUUUCAUACACCUUUUAUCCGGUUAUGUCUUUAUCCUUUCUAAGUUACCGAUGACAGUGGGACCAAAGAUUAACGUCGACGAGAGCAGAGGUCCAAGAGAAAUUGAGAUUUAAUAUGGUCCACAACUAUUCUAAGUAAGUGUUCUAUUCCAUUUAUAAAAGUAAUACGUCAGAUAGAACAAACAGAACAUCUUCGUACGAAACAGAAUCAUAAACUCUAAACCUAACCUGCAGACCUAAAUACUAAACCAUAAUCUCGAAGCUCUAAACCCAAGCCCAAUUAAUUUAAAGUUACAAUAUUUUAAAGAAAAUAGUAAAAAAUAAUAAAUAUAUAAAUUUUGAACUAUUAUUCUAUACUAUCUAACAUGGAAUGAAGACUACUCUUGUAAUUCAACCCCAACCCACCUCCAACUCUAAACCCAACACACCUCCAAAAUUGAAAUACUAAAUUGAAAUACUAAACCCUAAACUUGAAUUCCUAAACCCAAAUCUAAAUGUAAAAUAUUUUAGAUUAAAUUAAAAUAUGAAAAUAAUAUAUAAUAUUUUGUACUAUCACCUAUACUAUAUAAAAUGGAAAGGAAAAUAGACUUGAGAGGAAGUACUACACCCUAAACUCUAAUCACUAAAUCCUAACCACUCAAUAAUUAACCAUAUAACAAUUCCACCAUAAACCCCUAUAUACUUAACCUUAAACCAUAAUCACUAAACCCUAAAUUCAAAUAUAAAUCUUAAACCCAAAUAUAAACCCUCAGCCUAAAUAGAAUGGAACUAAAUAAAUAGUAUAGUAUAAUAAUAAUGUGGAAUGAAAACCAUUUAAGACGUUAGGAAGAAGAAGAAGAAAUGUGUGACUUUCUGAUUACCACGUUUAACUUUUGCUCUCUUGAAUAUUAUUUUUUCUUUUAAAUUUCAGGGUGAGCCGGUUGCGUUGAAGGUUAGAAGUGUAAUAUUAUAUAAAAUACACUAUGUAUCGAUGUAUUCUAUGGUAUUUGGCUACUGAUCUAAAUAUUGUUUUUUUUGUAGCCAUACCACCUAAUUUCCCUUUUUACUUUAUGAUGUCUUUCUGCCCCUCUCUCCUUUGAUCAUAUGCUUUCGCAUUGUACUACGGUCUUGAUUGUUGUAAACACAGUUUUUGCGAAUGAUUAUCGGGUUUUUACUUGAUGAUGUCUUUGUACCCCUCUCUCCUUUGAUCAUAUACUUUCUCAUUGUACUACGGUCUUGAUUGUUGUAAACGCAGUUUUUGCGUUUGAAUUUACAUGAAAAAUAAAUACAAAAUGAAAGGCUAUUCCUCGUUUGUAUUAGGCGUUUCCGAUUUACAAUUGAUUGGCUUAGGACAUCUCUAACAAUAAUAUCAAAUUUGGUGUUUAGUAUCAUAAUUUUUUUGUUAUCUCCAACAAUAACACCAAAUUUUACACCAAAGUAAUAUUAUCUAUUAUUUAAUGUUUUCAGUUUAAAUUUUUUAAUCUUUUUUUUCUUAUUUAUGAUUGAUAAAUAAUUAUUUUAUUACAUUUAGAUUAUAAUUUUAUUUUUAUUAUUUGUAAGUGAUAAGUGAUAAUAGUCAUUUAAUGAUUUACUUUGUAAAUAAAAAUUAAAAAUUGACUUUUUAAUGUGUGAAAAUAAAUUUAAAAUAUUAUUAAUACAAUAUAUUUAUGUUUAGUUACAAAUUUGAUAGCAAUUAAAAUAUAUUAUUAAAUGAAAUAUAACAAAAUAUACAUUUUAAAGAUUUGGUGUGAUAAAUAGUGUUGUAUCAAGUUUGGUGUCUUGUUGGAGAUGGUUUUAUAAAAAAAAUAAGGAAAAUUAUUUUUUUAGAGCAAAAAAAUGAUAACUAUGUCCCUUUAGACUAAUCUCUAUUUUGUGUCAUUUUUUCCUAUAACACUCUUUAAUAUAUUUGAAAAUAAAUUUAAUAAAUAAUUUUACAAAAAAAAAAAAUUAGAACAUAGUAACGUUUGAUAAAAUACCUAUAUGAACUUAGUGAUAUUUUUUCCAGUUAUAAAAAAGUUGAAAUCAUAAAUUUCAGAUUAUGUUCUAAAUAAAGUAGAAAUGACAUUCUACGAAGUAGAAAACGAAAUCCACUUUUUUCAUUGAAUCUACAAUGUUUAGAAUACGUGAUCUACGUAAAUAUGAGUAUUCUAAAAAUAUUUAGAAUACACAUUCCGCGCUUAACCUACCGUUCUAAAAUCUUUAGAAAUCAAAAUCUACACAUUAAUAUAAAUCUAAAACACGUAGAAACCGACUUCUACAUAUUUACUGUAAAUCUAAAACAUGUAGAAAUCAAAAUCUACACAUUACUAUAAUUCUAAAAAACUGUAGAAACCGAUUUCUACAGAUUAGCUGUAUUCUACGGAUAAGAAAUCAGUUCCUAAAAAUAUGGAAACAAAAUAUUUGGGAACAUUCACUUUUAUAUUUUGAAAAAAAAUCGAUUCAAAAAAAAACGAAAAAGGAACUAAAAAAACGAAAAAAAACCUUGGUAACCUUCUUCGCCGUCUUCUAUAUUCCAUUGAUUGUUCACAAAAUUUUCCCAAAAAUUUCACAUUAUUUCUACCAUGAUUCAUGUCUAUGCUUCAUGUGGUGUUUGGGAAUUGGUUGUAUCUUCAGGUUGGAAUUUUAAUGUUGAUAAAAAGAAAGGGGGAAGGUUACUUGCUUUGGAAUUGAAGUCCUCUUUGGGAUACUUUCCUGGGCACGGGAUCGAUCGAUCCGUAUUGAGAGAUCGGUCGGUCUAUAUAAAUCGAUCUUCGCUGAUCGAGUGAAAUGGACCAGGUCGAUCAGUAUAUACUCCGCAUUUUUUUUUCUGCAUAAUGAUCAGGAUCGAUCGAUCUGUUAGACCUUUUAAAUUCGGAUCGAUCGAUACCGCAUGAUCGAACUCAUUAUAUAUUUUAUUUUAAAAAUUACAAUUUUAAGGGUAUUACUGCCAUUUUGAAAAAAAUUAGUCUAAUAGGACAUAAAGUAAUAGAGAUUAGUCUAAAAGGACAUAGUUACCAUUUUUUUUGCUAUAAAAAAACAAUUUUCCCUAAAAAAUAUUAACUAAGGAUUCACGGAAAAACAAACAAACAAUAAUACAUAUGUAAAUCUCCAACCAGGAGAACACAGAGGAUUGGUCCUCGUCGAUUAACAUUGAUAACGACAACUCGAAGAGUAUUGCUCAAGAAUUAGCUAAUCAAUGUAGUUGACUGAACACUAAUGUGUUGUUGUGUUGUUGCCCAUUUACCAUUUUUGUGUAAACGUCCGUGGCUCUCAUGAUUAUUCCUCCUAUUCUCUCCUUAACCUUUUGGUUUCUUCUAUAUAGCAAAGUCAAACUAGUUUUUGGAACAUAUAGGCAUUUUCAAGAUUUUAACAUCUAUAACAAUCAACUGUAAUUGACACUGCAAUGAGAAAACGCAUAGUCAUACUAGAAAAUCUACAUAUGAUAGAAACAAAACUUCCCACGAUUGAGACUGAACACAAUACCUAUAUCAUCACUUAGGUUAUAUAUGAACACUAAGUACCAAUAAACGGCAAAAUCUUCAUCAACAAAAUAAAUUAGAAAUUUACUGAUUUUUCGACCUACCUUACAUUUAAGUUACAUGUUUAUAAGUUACAAGUGCUUUAGAAAAAAAACUCUCACACACAGAAAGGAUCGAAACUAUUUAAUUAUACACAAAACUUGAACGCCUUGUAGGCUUUGGGUCUUUGACCAAAAGAAAGAAGAGGAAAUCAAGAAAGCAUAGGCUAGCAGCAAUUGAAACCAAUGUCAUAUUCCGUAAAUAGUUUAGCACGAAAGUAUCUAAUUACAUGCCCCAAAUAGAACAGGGUUUAGGCGAUUCUAGGGCGAUUUUUCGAUCUGGCAAGCUCCUCCUCACCGGUGAAGUUUUGAGGCUCUCCUUGCCAGGGAAAGGAAGAUAGGAGACUCUAGGCGCACCAUACCGAGAAGUUUUUCCUGCCCCUUGCAGUGGUUCUCCUCCAAACCGGCGCUAAAAACCCUAGAUCUCUGUCGUGUUGAGCAAGUUUCGCUUAUACGUGGAGUGAAAAAACUCCCCCGUGUAGGGUGUCGGUGUAAGGUCAGAAGUUCUUUUUCUCCGGUCUCUCAAAGACGAUCUCUUGAAAUGAGUCGAUGGUAUGGGAACCGAGAGAGAGGCGACAACUCCAUACCAAUAGGAAGACGAUUGGAAAAGAAAAAGGAGGAUGAGAUAAUUCCGAUGGAGGAUAUUAGGCUAUGGAAGGGAGAAGGGAAUGUUUUCAUACCUACUUUCAGUUCAUAUCAGACAUGGCACUUGACGCGAAAUCAAUCUCCAAAAGUGGAUUAGUAUAAGGGUCUCUGGUUUCCAGGAGCUACUCCAAAAUACUCUGUCAUGACAUGGAUAACCAUCCAUAAUCGUCUUGUUACAGGUGACAGGAUAAACAAAUGGAGCCCUACCUCGGAUGCUCAAUGUGUUCUUUGUAUGGCUCAUGUGGAAACGAGGGACCACCUCUAUUUCAGUUGUCCUUUUUCUCAAUGGAUAUGUAUGGAUUUAACAAAAAAAACUGCUUGGGAGUCGGUACACAACGGACUGGAAUACCAUUCUCGAAUGUUUGGUGGAGAACAUAAGGAGUGGUGAUCAAGCUUUCUUACUGAGAUAUGUUUUUCAGAUUACCAUACACACUGUGUGGAGGGAAAUGAAUGGGAAGAAGCAUGGGGAAAGACAUCAAACAUCAGAAUCUCUGUCAAGAUACAUUGACAAGGUAGUACGGAAUCGUAUAUCUUCACUAAGGCUACAUGGGAGUCGAGGAUAUGGAGAAACAAUGCAAGCUUGGUUUAUGGCUCGGGCGUAACUGAGUUUCUGAAAUUUGUGUUCUUAAAUAUUUCAAAACUUUAAGACAAGAAGCAUACAUUAUUGUAAAACGGUUUUUUUGAUUUGAAUAAAUAUAACAUUUUUUCAAAAAAAAAGAGUAUGCCCCACAUCCGGACCAAAACGGUUGGCGUUUGAUCAGAAUACGACACCCAACUUGAGAACUUCAGUAGUCAUUACAUUGACAAUUUUUGGGCCAUUUAUGUUACAAUUAUACAAUGGUCAAUGGUACUUUUUAUUUUCGAAAUUCAUGAGUCUCUAUUUCUAUUUUUGUAAGAAAAGAUAGGGAGAUAUUUCAAAAUUAAGUUGAGGAUAAGAUGAUUGUACUAGUUGGAAAAGAUUAUGAAUAUAACUUUUUAGUUUCAUAUAUAAUGUAGUUACAAACCUCUAUAAAUUAUUGGGACAUAAAGAUAAAUUCCAAAAAUAAUUUUGUUUUUAAUUUGUGUUUGGAUAAUGACAAAAUUCUACAUUUUGGAAAGCAUAAUCUUCAUAUUCACAUGAAUUUCAUGUCCCUUAAUAACACAAAAACCAUUCACGUAUUCGUUUGCUUAAUUUAAAAAACAAUCCAAUCUUAAUUUAGGUAAGAAGCUUAUACUAAUCACUUUUCGACAUUUCUUAAAAAGAAGAAGACGAAUUUGGUGAGAAUCAUAAGUUGCAAGACCAUAAUUUAAGUGUUAUAAAUAAAAAAAAAUUAAGCGAAUAAUUCUUAAGCAACAAUGUCGCUAUCAUGUUUUCGUAGCCUCUGCUUUUUCUGUACCCACCACCAAACACAUCAACCACCAAAUACCACCAGUAUUCAUACUUCUUCUCCCCCAAUUUCUUUGUUUAUCAAUUUUUUACCCUAAAUCUUAAUUUCACAAAAGAAAAUUCCAGAAAUCUUGAUUCCACAGUUUAUUUAGCAUCGAAUGAACAAUUGACUCGUUGAAUAAAACGAUAAGAAGCUCUAUUUUCUUCCGGAGAUAUCAUAUAUCUAUUACUCAAUACGCAAAAUGGGAUAUUAUCUCAAUAUUAAAAAAUUACAUGGGUAAGAUUCUAGGAAAUUCGAUAAAUCGAGAGCAUUUCUAUAAAUAUUAUAUGCUCUCUCUCUCUCUCUCACACGGUUACUUAAAAACCAAGAGGAAACGAUUAAAGUAAACCAAAAAUAAAGGGACCUCCGGAAAAAACUUUCGAAAUAUUAAUCCUGGAACCCUAUCUUCUCAAAAAUUGCAUUUCUGACCCUACUCAGAUCUCUCCCCUUCAAUGUCCUCCCAACUCCUUCGUGCACCGAGAACGACGCCAUCCUCGUCCUCGCCAGAAACUCGUGCGGCGGCAAUCUCCCGCCGCUAGCGUCCAACCACUCCUCUCCGUCUUCCGAAUCUCCGUCGUCGUCCUCGAUCCUCCUCCGACGGUUAUCGCGGUGCUCCUCGCGGAGAAUCUUCGACCAGUCCGGGACGUUUAUCGGGAGCGACUUCGCGGAAGGAUCGAAACUAUUUAAUUAUACACAAAACUUGAACGCCUUGUAGGCUUUGGGUCUUUGACCAAAAGAAAGAAGAGGAAAUCAAGAAAGCAUAGGCUAGCAGCAAUUGAAACCAAUGUCAUAUUCCGUAAAUAGUUUAGCACGAAAGUAUCUAAUUACAUGCCCCAAAUAGAACAGGGUUUAGGCGAUUCUAGGGCGAUUUUUCGAUCUGGCAAGCUCCUCCUCACCGGUGAAGUUUUGAGGCUCUCCUUGCCAGGGAAAGGAAGAUAGGAGACUCUAGGCGCACCAUACCGAGAAGUUUUUCCUGCCCCUUGCAGUGGUUCCCCUCUAAACCGGCUCUAAGAACCCUAGAUCUCUGUCGUGUCGAGCAAGUUUCGCUUAUACGUGGAGUGAAAAAACUCCCCUGUGUAGGGUGUCGGUGUAAGGUCAGAAGUUCUUUUUCUCCGGUCUCCCAAAGACGAUCUCUUGAAAUGAGUCGAUGGUAUGGGAACCGAGAGAGAGGCGACAACUCCAGACCAAUAGGAAGACGAUUGGAAAAGAAAAAGGAGGAUGAGAUAAUUCCGAUGGAGGAUAUUAGGCUAUGGAAGGGAGAAGGGAAUGUUUUCAUACCUACUUUCAGUUCAUAUCAGACAUGGCACUUGACGCGAAAUCAAUCUCCAAAAGUGGAUUAGUAUAAGGGUCUCUGGUUUCCAGGAGCUACUCCAAAAUACUCUGUCAUGACAUGGAUAACCAUCCAUAAUCGUCUUGUUACAGGUGACAGGAUAAACAAAUGGAGCCCUACCUCGGAUGCUCAAUGUGUUCUUUGUAUGGCUCAUGUGGAAACGAGGGACCACCUCUAUUUCAGUUGUCCUUUUUCUCAAUGGAUAUGUAUGGAUUUAACAAAAAAAACUGCUUGGGAGUCGGUACACAACGGACUGGAAUACCAUUCUCGAAUGUUUGGUGGAGAACAUAAGGAGUGGUGAUCAAGCUUUCUUACUGAGAUAUGUUUUUCAGAUUACCAUACACACUGUGUGGAGGGAAAUGAAUGGGAAGAAGCAUGGGGAAAGACAUCAAACAUCAGAAUCUCUGUCAAGAUACAUUGACAAGGUAGUACGGAAUCGUAUAUCUUCACUAAGGCUACAUGGGAGUCGAGGAUAUGGAGAAACAAUGCAAGCUUGGUUUAUGGCUCGGGCGUAACUGAGUUUCUGAAAUUUGUGUUCUUAAAUAUUUCAAAACUUUAAGACAAGAAGCAUACAUUAUUGUAAAACGGUUUUUUUGAUUUGAAUAAAUAUAACAUUUUUUCAAAAAAAAAGAGUAUGCCCCACAUCCGGACCAAAACGGUUGGCGUUUGAUCAGAAUACGACACCCAACUUGAGAACUUCAGUAGUCAUUACAUUGACAAUUUUUGGGCCAUUUAUGUUACAAUUAUACAAUGGUCAAUGGUACUUUUUAUUUUCGAAAUUCAUGAGUCUCUAUUUCUAUUUUUGUAAGAAAAGAUAGGGAGAUAUUUCAAAAUUAAGUUGAGGAUAAGAUGAUUGUACUAGUUGGAAAAGAUUAUGAAUAUAACUUUUUAGUUUCAUAUAUAAUGUAGUUACAAACCUCUAUAAAUUAUUGGGACAUAAAGAUAAAUUCCAAAAAUAAUUUUGUUUUUAAUUUGUGUUUGGAUAAUGACAAAAUUCUACAUUUUGGAAAGCAUAAUCUUCAUAUUCACAUGAAUUUCAUGUCCCUUAAUAACACAAAAACCAUUCACGUAUUCGUUUGCUUAAUUUAAAAAACAAUCCAAUCUUAAUUUAGGUAAGAAGCUUAUACUAAUCACUUUUCGACAUUUCUUAAAAAGAAGAAGACGAAUUUGGUGAGAAUCAUAAGUUGCAAGACCAUAAUUUAAGUGUUAUAAAUAAAAAAAAAUUAAGCGAAUAAUUCUUAAGCAACAAUGUCGCUAUCAUGUUUUCGUAGCCUCUGCUUUUUCUGUACCCACCACCAAACACAUCAACCACCAAAUACCACCAGUAUUCAUACUUCUUCUCCCCCAAUUUCUUUGUUUAUCAAUUUUUUACCCUAAAUCUUAAUUUCACAAAAGAAAAUUCCAGAAAUCUUGAUUCCACAGUUUAUUUAGCAUCGAAUGAACAAUUGACUCGUUGAAUAAAACGAUAAGAAGCUCUAUUUUCUUCCGGAGAUAUCAUAUAUCUAUUACUCAAUACGCAAAAUGGGAUAUUAUCUCAAUAUUAAAAAAUUACAUGGGUAAGAUUCUAGGAAAUUCGAUAAAUCGAGAGCAUUUCUAUAAAUAUUAUAUGCUCUCUCUCUCUCUCUCACACGGUUACUUAAAAACCAAGAGGAAACGAUUAAAGUAAACCAAAAAUAAAGGGACCUCCGGAAAAAACUUUCGAAAUAUUAAUCCUGGAACCCUAUCUUCUCAAAAAUUGCAUUUCUGACCCUACUCAGAUCUCUCCCCUUCAAUGUCCUCCCAACUCCUUCGUGCACCGAGAACGACGCCAUCCUCGUCCUCGCCAGAAACUCGUGCGGCGGCAAUCUCCCGCCGCUAGCGUCCAACCACUCCUCUCCGUCUUCCGAAUCUCCGUCGUCGUCCUCGAUCCUCCUCCGACGGUUAUCGCGGUGCUCCUCGCGGAGAAUCUUCGACCAGUCCGGGACGUUUAUCGGGAGCGACUUCGCGGCGGCGCCGGCGCACGAGGAAGGCCGAUUCGACGGUUUUUUACCGGAUCUGCCGGAUGCAGAGAUUUUUUUCCGAGGCGAAGGGGAGUGGACGGAACCGGCGGAUGAGUAGAGAUCGGAUUCGUCGAACUCGAGACCUGAGUCGGUGGAGGCGUAGUAGGACUGAUCGGCGCCGAGGAAGCGAUAGCUUGGCCGAGCGUAGUAGCCUUUUCCGGUGGCCAUUGACGAAGAAGAGAUUUUAAUUAAAUUUAAUAUUUAAUUUUGAGUUUGAGUUUUAGUUUUAGUUUUAGUUUUGGUGUGAGAAGAAUUAGUUGUGAGGGGGUCUAUGGCUUUAUACAGGUUUUGGGGUUGGAUAAAAUGGAUAAGGUACCUUCUCUCUCUCUUAACUUCUAGUUUCCGUCAGUGUGAAACUACAUAAUUACCCUUAGUUUUUAGAUGAAAUUAAAUGAAGUCUCGAUAAAUGCCACGAGCUCAGAAUUUUAAAAAGAUUACUCUUUUUUUUUUUUUUUUUUUGUGACUACUCUUUUUUCGUGGGGAGAAUAUUACAUGUGUCGUAUUGGCAUAUUCUUACCACUUUGUUUUGCUUCUUUUUUUCUUUUGUCGUUUGAAAAAUAUUUUUGCUACAAAUAUAAUAGGUAUUUUUUUAAAAAAAAAUUACAGUUUCUUUUGUAUUUACUUAAUAUUGAGUUCAAUUUAUAUUUGGUACCUGAUUACAAAUUCUGCAUUAUUUAAAAAAAUUCUAAAAAUGUACUAUAAGAUUGUUUUAUUUAGUAUGAAUAAAAUAGUAUUUUGUUUACGAGAUAAAUAAAACCAGUAAUUUUUUCUGAAUAUAGGUAUAUCUAAAAUAAUAGUAUAUACUAGUUUCACAUAGUUAAGGAAAUAAGAUAAUAUAUUCAUUUUUGCAAUAGUUAAAAAAAAAAAGAAAUAUAUCCUUUUGCAAAUUUGUGAAGAAAACAAAAGAGACUUCAAAAAAGCUCUAUAAUAAGAAAGAGCAGGGACAGGGAAUAUUAUGGUAUAUAAACAGCAUAUAAUAAUAUAAGCCUUAUGUUACAAAACAAAAACAAUAAUAUAAGCCUUGAGGCCCUCCACCGGGUGGAAACUUACGAGGUUGGUCGGUGUUAGCGGCGCGGAGAACCAGAACCGUCGAGGAUUACAUCAUCACUCGUCAAUUUAGCCGCUCCACAUUUGAAUUUUAUUUAAUAACCUGCUCUUGUUUUUAUACUGUAUCCAAUAACAAUCUGCACAAAGCUUCUCAACUGAGGUCCUUAUCGAGUUUUUUAAUGCGUGGAUCCCACAAAACUUUUAAGGAUCGGUUACAAAAACUACUAAUUAAGAAUCGAUUUUAGUGAAUUUUUUACACUGUUCGCGGACCCCCACUAACUCGUGGCGGUCCGCGAUUGAUUUACUUUUAAAAUUUUUAAAAAAAAAAAUAAAAUCUAAGAAACCCAAAUAGAUUUUUUAAGGAUAAACAUAGUCUUAGAUAUUUAAUUUAUACUGCCAAUCUCCCUAUAAAUAGUUUCUUUCUUUUUUGCUAAAGCUAGAAAUAGUUUCAUAAUUUAUACUCUCUCUCCCUAUAAGUAUUAAACUAUUAAAUUAUGUGGACUAUCAGAUUUGGACUAUGAUCGCCUCGCUCUAUUUGCUCAUAUUUUAUAGAGUCUGACUGUCUGAUACGAACAGCAGACUCCAACUCCAGAGUCCAGAGUUUACACUAACAAAACAUUGUAAACUAGGUUUUUUUGUCCACGUAAACUAGGUUAUUAAUUCUGCUUAUCUUAGAACUUUUAUAUGGGUAUAAAAAAUAUUACUCCAUCCGGUACCACUAAGAUUUUCUAGAGUUUUCAUGUUUAUCAAAAAUAAUAUUUACAAUUUAAUUUACAAUUUAUUUUUUAAUACACUUUCCAAUAACUAUCCACUAAUAAAACUUAAUUAAUUCAAAUAUUUACAAUUAAUGUUUCUCAAAAGUAUACAAAAAUAACUUAAACAUAUAAAAAAAUUAUUUCUGUGGAACAAAAAUAAACUCUAAAAAAUUUUACAUUUGAGAACAAAGAGAGUAUGUAGUACCAUCAAAAUCCAUAACUGAGAAAGCCCGUUACGCCAAUAGUUAUCAUCGAAAUCCGUAACUGAGAAAACCCGUUAUACCAAUUGUUAUCAAGAGAAAAUGUUAUGCUAUAACUCUUUUGCCGAUAAAAAAGGGAAAAAUAUAUUUUUUGUUGAUAUUAAAAGAGUAUUUAUACAAAUAUACAUUCUCUAAGCUGGUUUGCAUUUCUUACAAAAAUAUAUUUAUGAAAGAAACGGAUCAUGCUGGUACAAAUCUGGUGUUUCUUAUGCUACAAGAAAACAAAAGUAGGGGAAUAUCAGGUAGUAUCAAGAAAACGAAAACGACUUAUUUAAUAAGCAAAAAUAAAGGAAAUUACCAUAAGAUCUACAAUCCUUUUUUUUAGAAAUGAUUAUUAUUAUUAUUUAUAUUUAUAAGAUGUGCUUUAAGAAGUUUAUUAAAAUAAGAAAGUAUAGAAUCUCUUCAUGUUUUUUUUUUCUAAAACACUCUUCAAACUAUUUUAACAUUUUUUUAUUGUUGACAAAAAAAGCAUUUUUAAAACUUUAAAAAAACACUCUUCAAACUCUUAAAAUAUCAUUUUUCAUAAAAUCAUAACUUGGUCAAGUUUUUUGUCGUGACUCGUGUGGGGCUGGAUUCUCUUUCUCCCGUCCCCAGUUCCAAAGACAAAGAGAGAGACAAAGCAUAGUCUCUACGAUCAAAACACGUGUCUUAAAAACCCGAUCUCACUACACGUGGUGACGCUUAGCGUGGAUGGACGCCACGUGAGAGUAGGACCCACUCAUAACUUGGAUCUAACGCGCUUAUAUCUCACCAGCUGGAAAUUCACGUUUUUUAUAUAAAGUCCUUUCGUUUUCUUCUCUCUCUCUUUCUCGAUGUCCUCCCACACGCGACAGACUCGUAACCGUUUGAUAAAUAUAAUAUCUCGUAUUUUCUCAUCUCUUUGAGGUUCGUCUCGGUGUUUGAAAAAUACCUGCGAGUGGGCUUUUCUUUUUAACUAUUAGUUUUAGGCCUGGGCGUUCGGGUAUCUGUUGACGUUCGGAUCGGGGGUUUUGGAUUUUGGUUAUUUUUUAUAACACCUCUUAAGUUUCAUUAUAGUAAAUUUGCAAGUUGGACUGGGUUCGGAUAUAACACAUCGGGUUCGUGUCGAUUUUGUAUCACAUCAUAGAACACAUAAAAUAAUCAUAUAUCAUUCGGAUUCGAGUUAUAUUGGAUCGGUUCAGAUAUACCCGAAAUAAAAUCUAAAAUUUAAAAGUAAAACAUAAGAAAUAUAUAUUUAUUUAUAUAUAAUUAAGUAUUUAAGGUAGUUAUUUAUAUUUUAAAUACUUAUUGUUAGAUAACAUAUCAAAAUAAAUAUGGAAUUAAAUAUUUGAAGUAUAUAUUCAUGUUUCAUAUAAUUAUAUUGUAUAUUAUUUUGGACAUUCGGAUCGAUUUUUUCGGAUAUCUUUUCGGUUUUUUCGGUUUUUCGGGUUACCCGUUCGGGUUUGGUUAAUAAUACUUCGGGUUCGGAUAUGUUUUGUACCACCUUACAAGAUCCAUUCUGAUAUUUUUUACACUUCGGACCGGAUACUUCGGGUUUUUCGGCUCGGGUUCGGUUCGGAUUUCGGAUUACGGAUGUUAUGCCGAGGCUUAAUCAGUUUCACGAUAUUCGUUGAAAGUUGAACUUUUGUAGGUCCCACUUUACCUAUUUUAAGUCGUUGUUCGAAUAAAACUUGCUUUAUUUUAUGGGUGAAUUUGCUCAAUAGCCAAAAUGCAAAUGAAAAUUAGGUAUAUGACAUUGAUUUUGACAUAUUUAACAAACUAACAUUUAUACCACUUAUGAACCGGUUAUACCCCUCUCAUCAACAAGUAUCCAAUUAGCAAAUGAAAGAAGGGAUGACAUCUACAAAGAAAGAUAUGAACAAAAAUUUAACGAGCAUUAUUCACCAUAUAAAGGCACGUAAAGCCACCCACGUAACAGUUUUAGUUACCAUAUACAUAUUAUAGGUGACAGAGAUGAUGGUGCCAACUUAAAUGAUGAAUGAAACUAAUUUGGGAUGUCUGAGACUCCAGUGAUUGUGCCUAAAAUGAAUCGGAAUGUACAAAUACAUGACUUGGACUGAAUUUCCUGAAUGUGUUAGUCCAUACCAAUGGCGUAGUACAUGAUUUACUUUUAAAAUUUUUAAAAAAAAAAAUAAAAUCUAAGAAACCCAAAUAGAUUUUUUAAGGAUAAACAUAGUCUUAGAUAUUUAAUUUAUACUGCCAAUCUCCCUAUAAAUAGUUUCUUUCUUUUUUGCUAAAGCUAGAAAUAGUUUCAUAAUUUAUACUCUCUCUCCCUAUAAGUAUUAAACUAUUAAAUUAUGUGGACUAUCAGAUUUGGACUAUGAUCGCCUCGCUCUAUUUGCUCAUAUUUUAUAGAGUCUGACUGUCUGAUACGAACAGCAGACUCCAACUCCAGAGUCCAGAGUUUACACUAACAAAACAUUGUAAACUAGGUUUUUUUGUCCACGUAAACUAGGUUAUUAAUUCUGCUUAUCUUAGAACUUUUAUAUGGGUAUAAAAAAUAUUACUCCAUCCGGUACCACUAAGAUUUUCUAGAGUUUUCAUGUUUAUCAAAAAUAAUAUUUACAAUUUAAUUUACAAUUUAUUUUUUAAUACACUUUCCAAUAACUAUCCACUAAUAAAACUUAAUUAAUUCAAAUAUUUACAAUUAAUGUUUCUCAAAAGUAUACAAAAAUAACUUAAACAUAUAAAAAAAUUAUUUCUGUGGAACAAAAAUAAACUCUAAAAAAUUUUACAUUUGAGAACAAAGAGAGUAUGUAGUACCAUCAAAAUCCAUAACUGAGAAAGCCCGUUACGCCAAUAGUUAUCAUCGAAAUCCGUAACUGAGAAAACCCGUUAUACCAAUUGUUAUCAAGAGAAAAUGUUAUGCUAUAACUCUUUUGCCGAUAAAAAAGGGAAAAAUAUAUUUUUUGUUGAUAUUAAAAGAGUAUUUAUACAAAUAUACAUUCUCUAAGCUGGUUUGCAUUUCUUACAAAAAUAUAUUUAUGAAAGAAACGGAUCAUGCUGGUACAAAUCUGGUGUUUCUUAUGCUACAAGAAAACAAAAGUAGGGGAAUAUCAGGUAGUAUCAAGAAAACGAAAACGACUUAUUUAAUAAGCAAAAAUAAAGGAAAUUACCAUAAGAUCUACAAUCCUUUUUUUUAGAAAUGAUUAUUAUUAUUAUUUAUAUUUAUAAGAUGUGCUUUAAGAAGUUUAUUAAAAUAAGAAAGUAUAGAAUCUCUUCAUGUUUUUUUUUUCUAAAACACUCUUCAAACUAUUUUAACAUUUUUUUAUUGUUGACAAAAAAAGCAUUUUUAAAACUUUAAAAAAACACUCUUCAAACUCUUAAAAUAUCAUUUUUCAUAAAAUCAUAACUUGGUCAAGUUUUUUGUCGUGACUCGUGUGGGGCUGGAUUCUCUUUCUCCCGUCCCCAGUUCCAAAGACAAAGAGAGAGACAAAGCAUAGUCUCUACGAUCAAAACACGUGUCUUAAAAACCCGAUCUCACUACACGUGGUGACGCUUAGCGUGGAUGGACGCCACGUGAGAGUAGGACCCACUCAUAACUUGGAUCUAACGCGCUUAUAUCUCACCAGCUGGAAAUUCACGUUUUUUAUAUAAAGUCCUUUCGUUUUCUUCUCUCUCUCUUUCUCGAUGUCCUCCCACACGCGACAGACUCGUAACCGUUUGAUAAAUAUAAUAUCUCGUAUUUUCUCAUCUCUUUGAGGUUCGUCUCGGUGUUUGAAAAAUACCUGCGAGUGGGCUUUUCUUUUUAACUAUUAGUUUUAGGCCUGGGCGUUCGGGUAUCUGUUGACGUUCGGAUCGGGGGUUUUGGAUUUUGGUUAUUUUUUAUAACACCUCUUAAGUUUCAUUAUAGUAAAUUUGCAAGUUGGACUGGGUUCGGAUAUAACACAUCGGGUUCGUGUCGAUUUUGUAUCACAUCAUAGAACACAUAAAAUAAUCAUAUAUCAUUCGGAUUCGAGUUAUAUUGGAUCGGUUCAGAUAUACCCGAAAUAAAAUCUAAAAUUUAAAAGUAAAACAUAAGAAAUAUAUAUUUAUUUAUAUAUAAUUAAGUAUUUAAGGUAGUUAUUUAUAUUUUAAAUACUUAUUGUUAGAUAACAUAUCAAAAUAAAUAUGGAAUUAAAUAUUUGAAGUAUAUAUUCAUGUUUCAUAUAAUUAUAUUGUAUAUUAUUUUGGACAUUCGGAUCGAUUUUUUCGGAUAUCUUUUCGGUUUUUUCGGUUUUUCGGGUUACCCGUUCGGGUUUGGUUAAUAAUACUUCGGGUUCGGAUAUGUUUUGUACCACCUUACAAGAUCCAUUCUGAUAUUUUUUACACUUCGGACCGGAUACUUCGGGUUUUUCGGCUCGGGUUCGGUUCGGAUUUCGGAUUACGGAUGUUAUGCCGAGGCUUAAUCAGUUUCACGAUAUUCGUUGAAAGUUGAACUUUUGUAGGUCCCACUUUACCUAUUUUAAGUCGUUGUUCGAAUAAAACUUGCUUUAUUUUAUGGGUGAAUUUGCUCAAUAGCCAAAAUGCAAAUGAAAAUUAGGUAUAUGACAUUGAUUUUGACAUAUUUAACAAACUAACAUUUAUACCACUUAUGAACCGGUUAUACCCCUCUCAUCAACAAGUAUCCAAUUAGCAAAUGAAAGAAGGGAUGACAUCUACAAAGAAAGAUAUGAACAAAAAUUUAACGAGCAUUAUUCACCAUAUAAAGGCACGUAAAGCCACCCACGUAACAGUUUUAGUUACCAUAUACAUAUUAUAGGUGACAGAGAUGAUGGUGCCAACUUAAAUGAUGAAUGAAACUAAUUUGGGAUGUCUGAGACUCCAGUGAUUGUGCCUAAAAUGAAUCGGAAUGUACAAAUACAUGACUUGGACUGAAUUUCCUGAAUGUGUUAGUCCAUACCAAUGGCGUAGUACAAGACUACUUGGUCCCAAAACUAUUCCAUUUGAAACCGUAGGAAUAGAAAUUAGCGAUCAUGAGUAUAAUAUUCACUACUACUAAGUCCUUGCAAUGGAGUGCAUGAUAAGGCGAAGAACAAUUUUUAUAGCCGAAAUAGUAUAGAUGAUGAAGCUCAUGAUAUUAUAGAGGUGACUUGAAAGAGAGAAAAAUCACGUCACUUAAAUAUUUACCGCAUCUAGAAUUAUUGUGCACAGUAAAUGUAUGAACUAAAAUAGAACUCCUUCCAAUAUAUCUUAUAUUCCAUUUACCAAUCUCAAUUACUCUAUUCUAUUUUACCAAAAUAGUAUAGAACACCAACUUCAUCACGACUCUAAAUAAUAAAUUGUAUCCCAAUCCACCUCCAAUCCAUAAACAUUAAACACUAACCCUAAAAGAAAAUAUAAAUCCUAAACACAAAUAUAAACUUCAACCCCAACCAUAAAUACUAAAAAAAUUUAAUAAAAAAAAUGUAUUCCAUAUCACCGAAAUAGUAUAUGAUUCUAAUCCCACUUACAACCACUAAAUACUAAACCCAACAACAUAACAUACAUCAUGCUUAUUCAUUGUAAAAUAAUAUAAACCCUAUCAACUAACCAUUAACUCUACACAGAAAUAUAAACCCAAAUCCAAUAGUCAAUCCUAAUUUUCCAUAUAAUAAAUCCAAAUUUCGAAAUGCCAGUAAAAUGCAUUACCAUUCUACAUGAGGCAUAUAGAAUAGAAAAUAUGAAAAUGUAGUUGCAAUGUGAAGAUCAUCUUAACAUAUUUUUCAAAUGUUGAUAUGACUAUGCCUUCAUGGAAAGUGGUAAUGCUUGCCCCAACGUCAACCCCAAUAGUACAUAAACUAAACCCUAUCAACUAAUCACUAAACCCUACACAGAAAUAUAAACUCUAAUCCAAUGUCAACCCCAAUCUUCCAUAAACUAAAUCAUAACUACUAAUUACUAAACCCUACAUGAAAAUAUAAAUCCUAAUCUAAUGUCAACCCCAAUAUUUUAUAAACUAAACUCAAAUUUGGAAAUAUGAGUAACAUGCAUUUUCAUUAUAAAGGAGCAUAUAGAAUAGAAAAGGUGUCAAACGAUAUAGCACACUACAUAUAUAUUGUUCAAAUUUUGAAGUAUUCAUGAUUGCAGGGAAGGAAGUGAUGCUUACACCAAAUUCACAUUGUAUUCUGUUUUAUUUGUAUGUUAUAAUAAAUUAUAUUUCAUUUAUGUUUAACAUAUUAUUUCUCUCUACAAAAUCAUAUACAAAUUAAUAUAAACCACAUAUAUACACCAAUACAAAACUCAUAUCAAUAGAAAUGAAACAACGAACAAGAUUGAACCAUUUCUUUCAAGCAUCGAAUGAAAUAUAACUUACUAAAUAGUACAUUAUAUAUUAAUAAAUAUGGCAAAUAAGAGAAGAGCCAAAUUUGAAAAAAAACUGUUGGUUCCAUUUCAUAAAAUAGUAUAGAAAUACUACUACCCUUCCAACUCAUCCAUGACAAACCUGAAGAACAAAAUGAAAAUGAAGAUACACGUUAGCUUACAAGUUGGAAGGAAAUGUCAGCAUAUGAGAUAUGCUACUAGUAUAUGAAUUAAUUUAUGGUUAGGUUAAAUGUUUAGUUGUUUCAAUCCCAAAUAGCCUAGCUAUGCGAGUAAAUAACUAACAUAUACAAUUAGAAUUAUACCAUCUGAUAUAAUAUAGAAUUUAUAUAUAUGGAACAGAACAUGUGGUCAAAUGGAAUGGAAAGCAAAUAAUAUAUUAGUUCUAAUACGAGUCUUCAGAAAUAGCAGAAGAAUGGAAUGACACGUAACCAGUCUCUAAAACUAAUAUUUUCCAUUUCAAAUAGCACAGGUUCCAUAAGAAAAAUACAUUUCACACAAAACUAAACUUUUUUUUAUCGCAAAAGGGACUUUUCAUUCCAAAAUCUCUAUCCUCCAUUUGCAGUAAACAGAUGAGUACGACGAACCGAAAAAAGUUCAACCUUAAACCAAAAAAGAACUUACGAUAUGGUUACGGGGUUGGAAAUCGAGAUAUCAAGUCGAAUCGAUUAUUGAGGCUGGAAAUCUAACCGCCCUUUCACUUCCUUGGGUCUUCUUGUAAUCGGCUUUGGUGAUCGUCCCGAAUCAUGCAUGAUCCACCGCCUAAAAAGGCCAGUAUAUUGCAUAUGAAAAGAAUUUCCAUAACGGUGACCUCACCCCCACGAUCCAAGUCACGAUGGAAAAUCUAGUUAAACGGAACACAAUUAAGGAUCUGGAAGCCGUGGUCGUGCCGGCGGAGAAGCAAAUGUGUCUUGGUUGUAGGGGAGCCGGAGCAACGAUGGAGGAGGCGUCGCCAGUGAACUCGGGGAAUGUGGAUAAAUAGGCGUUUAAUAUUACCGUCCAGGUUGGUAUCCAAAAUCUGAUCAGAAUUUUGAUUGACAUCUUCGGAAGUUAGAGUCAUGGAGGAGAAGGAAUCGAGAGUUUGGUGUCAUCUCUACUAUCGCGGUAGUGAGAGAGAAAAUCAGGGUUGGGAUAUGAGCCAAACAUAUAAACGGUAGUAGGGCUCGAGUUUGGUGAGGGGGAAGAGGAGACGUGCUAUGGGAGAAGGAAGCGUUUGAGAGACUGAAGAAAAGAUGAAACGUGAAAAGCUAAAAUUCAUAGAAAAAAAAUAGAAGAGUAAAUUCUGAAAUGAUGUGACACUAAAAUGUAUUUUGAUUGGUGGAUUAUUUAAUCUGACGUGGACACUUUAGGUGUUGAGCUUAUUCUACUUUUAAUAUUGUAAGAUAAGUAAAACCAAAGUUCGUCAUUUUUUUGAGAAAUUGUCAUUUUAUAUUUUGGUUUUUUUUUUUGACAUCUUAUUGUGGUAUUUAAUGUAUAACCCACCUAUUGAUGUAAAAAAUAAAAUAUAACAAAAUUGUGAAAAUAGAUUGUUCUAUUCCCCUUACGUUUCAUGUUAAAUUUUAGAAAACCAAUACAUAUAUUUUAUUGUAACAUAAAAAACUUCCAUUGGUUAGUAGACAUGUAUGCUAUAUUUUUAUUGUUAGAUAAAAAAAACUACCACUGGUUAGUAUAGUCAUGUAUGUUGAAUUAAUUAAUUUAAUAUAUAUAAAUUUAUUUGAAUGUUAGUUUUUCAUGAAAAUUUUUGUAAUCUUUAUGUUGUAACUGAAAUUUUUUUUUUCUGAACUGAAGUUGUAACUGGAUAUUGUUCAAAUGAGAGACCAAAUUCACAAAAGCUGCUACAUGGCAACCCUUCUAUCCAUGUCAACGGCAGUUGCGUCCCUUCCGCAAACAGUUGCAAUGCUUCAGCAAUUAUACAAUGAUUAACCUUUCACAUAUUUCUUCCACAAAGAAUUUGGAAUGAAUAUAAACUAAAUUUACAGUAACUUUCCAUUUUGUCACUGUUCACUACAAAGUCGAAGAAUGGGGAGCAUUUCAUGAGGCCUCCACUUUGUUCACAUAAGUUAGAACCGCUGAGGCCUCCACUUUGUUCAAUCACGCAUUUUCACACCGGUCGAUCAACGAUCUGAAGUUAAAAAAUCAUAUGUCAAACAUUACAUGAUCAUAAUCAAUUAAUAAUCAUGAACAAAUCAUGCAAGGUUAUGUUUUCAAUAUAUAGUGCUUUUUGGUAGAAGCAUUAUGUUUUAAAAAAACCGCACAUAUAAAUAUUAUAUUUUCAAAUACAGAAACAAAAACUAAAGGAAAAUAAGUACAAAUGUGAUAAAUAUAUAACCAUCUUUCGACAGUAUACUGUAGGCAUUUUAAAAAAAAAAAGAAUAGAUGAUUUCCUAUAAAUUUUCGAAUUUUACCAUAAAUUUUUGAGUUAUAUUAUUAUAUACCAAACGAAAAUAUACUUAUUAUUUGAAUUUAAAAUUAGUUUAUGUAACAGUAGUGAAGUUUGAAACUCAAUAAGGUAUAUAUUCAAAACUUUUUACAUUAAAAUAUAAUUUAUUAUCGACCGAAGUGCGAUGAAGUUAAUGAUAAAAAAUAACAGUUCACAACAUUUUAAAUUAUAAAAAUGGUUUUUGCAUUAAAAUUGAAAACAUAUCUCUAAACUGAAAAAAAAACACAUUUUGAAUUGAUCAAUUGUAGUUUCACUUCCAUGCGGGUCAACACACAAAAUUGGCUCUUGGGAAAAUUCAAUUUAAUUGAUUUGAUUAGUAUAUUAUAAAUGUAAGUUAUUUAUGUAGGGUUCAUAUUGAAAAAAUAAAAGCUCUCUUACUAUCAAUGUCAAGACGUCACUACGUGGUAACUAACUAUUUCAUAGAUAAAUAGUGACCAGACGGACUAUUCGGGGUUUAGGCAAGACUAGGUAUUAACAAAUUAUUGAUUUAUUUUAAAUAUUUUUCUUUUACAUUAGAUAUUUUAGUUUUUUGGGUUUAAUUAUAAAAUCAUUUUGAUAAAUUAUAAAAAUCACAUAUACAAAAAAAACUAGAUAAGUUUGUGGAUUUUCACUAACAUUUUUGUUUAGUUUAAUAAAUUUAAACCAAUUUAGAUCGAUUUAUACUAAUUUAAAUCAAUUUAGACCAAUUUAGAUCAUUUAAAAAAAAUUUAAAACUAUUUAAGUUUAAUAAAUAAUAAUUAAGAUAAUUGUUUUGGCUAUAGCCGAUUUGUUGCCUAGAUGGACGCCUAGACACUAUCUAAACUGAUUUUUAGAACAUUGCUUACAAUGGUUGCUUUAUUCUUUUACAAUAUACAAUUUUGGGUGGCAAGUUAACUUUUAUAGAUCUUUACACUCCAUUUAGUGAACGUCCUAAACAUAUUUUUAUCUUGGAGAACUCUCUGCAACUUAUAUUUGAUGCAUCAAUUGUUUAUAACGUUAAUUAAUUUUUCUUUUGUAUUUUUGGGUUAUAUUAUGGAGGAAACUCAUUUUCAAAUUUUCUUACAUCAUCAUUUUCUAUAAAAAAAAUCCUAAAUAAAUAUUUUAGAUUAAUUUAUUUUAAGUAUGAUUUAUUACGUUGGGUUGGGACUAAAAGUUAAGGUCUCCAUUCUCUUAAUUAUUUACAUCUUUUAAAUACCCGCUUCAUUUUUUUUAUUUUUCCGCAUUUGUGUCUCUCUAAAAAGUUCAUUUGUGUUAAAAAUUAUAUUAUGAUAAACUAAACAACAACAAAAUUCUAUGAAAUUUCUAGGAGACUCAAUUUUAUUACCAUGAUAUUCUCUGCACCAGUCAUCUAAUAUUUAAUCUUCAAUCAAUUUUUUAUUUUUUCGAAGUCAGGGUGUAUAUUGUACAGCUUCACAUCCGAAAAUGAUAUUUGCUUGUUUUUCUUUUGAGUAUUGUCAAUAACUUAUACACUAGUCUUGCAGUUACUCCAUCAUCAUUAGAAUUACUAGGGACAUUGUCUCCGCGUAAGCGCGGAGUUAUAGACAUAUUUCUUGUUUUAUCUCAAUAUUUGUUAGGGUUAUUGUAGCUGUGAAUUUUGUGUUUUGGGUUGAUAAUUGUUUUUUAAGUUUUUUAUUGUUAUAGGGUUAGAGUUGUAAUGAUGUACUGUGUAUGCACUGUUCUCUAUUCAUGAAGGACUAAACUGUGUUAAUAAUGUGAUUGAUAUAGUUCGUGUUGUUGCUUGCUGUGUUACUGAGACUUAUUGUUUGUUUGUCUUUUUAAUUUGUUACUUGUAGUGUUGAGAUUAUAUAAAUUAUAUUAAGGUUGUUCAGAGUACCUUUUGUUUCUGGAUAUUUUUUCACUAGUUUAGUUGUGUAAGUUGUGUGUAUUAAGUAAUAAUUUUUUUUAUUCUUAUUAUGUUGGUUAUAUGUUUUUUUUACUUUUAAACUUGUUGUUUUUACCGGACCUUUAAAACAAAUAUAUGAAAACUUGUAGAAAUAACUAUAAAAUGAGUGACAAUUUUUUUAUUCUUAAUGGGUUUUAAACGAAUAUAUUUAUUUCUCAUAAGAAGACAAUAGCGUUGGCAUGUUGACAUUGAGCAUAUAAGCUAUUUUUAUAAGACAAGAGGAGUGAGCAGGUGGAGAUGUUGUUGCCACCUUUGUGUCUGUUGGGAUUGUCUCUUGUAUCUCCUGGUGUGGCUGUGUUUGUUUCUCUUUUAUUUGAUGGGUAAUAUGUAAACAAAAAUCAUUGUUAGUUGUAUUUAUCAGAGUUUGUAACUUACUCUGCUUUUUUGUUUAGGUAAUUUCACUGAUCUUGGUUGUCGUCUUCGUCUUCUUCGUAAGCAUCUGUGAAAGUAAGUUUGUAAAUUGUUAAAUAUUUGGUCGUGUAGUUUAUAUUUGUUUAGCUGGCUCAAUGUAUGUGUCGUUGAGUUUUAGUUGAGUUGAUUGGUUUGGUAUAUUUGUUUUGAAGUUUAUUUGUAAGAUUAGAAAAAAAGAGAGGUGAUCAUUAAUGAUUCGUCUUUUUUUGGGAUUCUAGUUUUUGGUGUUUUGAUUGUUUGGGUUAUUGUGGUUUCUUUUAAACAGUAAAAUAAAUAUUUGUGUAAAAUUAGAUUAAUAAGUAAUAGAGAUAAAUAGACGACCACAAAUCUUGGGUAUGAAAUAUUUUUGAUUAUUGAUGUUAGCACAAUAUAAGCAGUAAUAUAAAGGGAAUUAUGUGUUGAUUGUUUCUUAGGGAUCAAUGAGGAGAUGGAUAGCGACUCGAGUUGUUUUUUUGGUGAGGCCAAAACCCUGGACAUAACGGAUUUGCCCAACCACAUCUGUGAGUUGAAAUAUCAGUUAUGAUAUCGAAACAUAAUAUAAACCCAGAUGCAAUAUGAUAAUAUACCUGGAAGUUCUAGGUUUGUGUUCGCAAUCACUUGGAGAUUGUCGAACAGUCUAAUCUUGACUGAAGAUUGAUCUCAGGAGCACCUGUGAUGACUUCAUCAAUAAUUGUUAGUGAGAUGAAACGAAUGAGGAAUGGAUGAUCAGUUAUCUUGUACAUGCUUGAGCACCUAGAAACCUCAAAACGAUCGACUUUCACAAUGGAACCAGCUUUCAAAGAUGGCAUGUAAUGAUUAGCACGUCCGACGGGAGUAAACCCAUGAAUCACGGAAUCUGCAAAUAAUAUUAUUCAACAAAGAAUCAGGAAAUAAAUUAAAACAAUUAUGUUAAAUAAGUGUUAUAGAUCGAAGAUUAACUUACCUUUUCAUCAAGGAAGAGAACCGUGAUUCCCACAAACUCCCUGUCUUUCUUGAAGUUCAGGGAAUCCCAGAAGCGAGGAAGCCAGAGGCUAUGCUCUGACUACUACGACCAAGACGGAGAGAUUCGAAGGUUGAGUGACGGACGCCGAGACGCCGGUUUGACGAAUUGGAGAGGCAGAGAGAAACAUUUUCUAGAAGUUGGUUAAAUCUAAGAGGAAUCAAUGAGUUUUGUGGAGAUGCAGAUUUGGUUCAUCAAAGAUGAGAAUCAUAUAUAUAGGGUUUAUAUAGGGGCUACAAAUCAGGAACAUUUAUGAUCAAGCGAUUUAAGAUGUGAACAUGAAGAGUUCACCGGUGAAAAAAUAGAUUACGAACAGACAGAUGGUGCAACUAUGUAACUCAGACUUGUUUGAGACAGUGAAGAGAAGAACCCAAACUCAUGUUAAACGACAACAGUUUACAAUAUGAGAAAACUAUAAUUGUUGCAAACUUAAGCUUUUUUUCAUAUAACGUGAUGAAUCUCAUUUAUAAAUGAAACUCAUAACGCACUUAUAGGCCCGACCCUCAGAAGAAGCCGAAGAAGCAAGAGCUUCUGACCUUCAUAAAUAUAUAUUAGGUUCGACCAUCAAUGUACAAAGUAUCAUUUAGCUUAGUGGUAUAAAUUUUGGUGUUUAUAUCUCAAUAACCCGGGUUCGAGCCAUAGGUUUGAUAUUUUUCACACUUUUUAAAAGCGGGAUCCACAAAUUGCUGACGUGGCGCGCUGAAAAGUGAGCAAAAACUUAUCUAUUAUAAUAUAGAUUUCUUAUUUAUGUAAUCCUUUGAUUGAUGAUCAGUAUUUUAAAAUAAAUAAUUUUUGUUGAUGUAAAUACACUUAUUAAUAUCGAAUAAUUAAAAUUUUCACUGAAGAAUUGAAUUGGCCGGCGUGAAGCGCGGACAGCCCUUAGUUAUUUAUAAAUUUUGGGUGUCGACAUUGUGGGCACAUCUUUAAAUUAUUAGCUAAAUUAUAAUAAUGAUUAGAAAAAGGUAAAGUUAAAAUACUGCUCUGUGAUGGUGAUGAUGAUAAAGUGACUUUUAUUGCGAGAAAUAAUAAUAUAAAUGCUUCGUCCAAUCAUGUUAGCCUUUUAAUAAAGUUAGAUGUGAAAUAUAGGAUAAUAAAUGUAUUAUUACUCGAAAUCGUUUUUAAAUAAGAUGCAGCCAGUCACAAGGCUCAGGGAAAAGUGAGAAUAUGGUUUAUACAAGUUUUUAAGUUAGUGGUGAAUCAUUGGCCUAUUUUAUAUUUUGUUUAGUGUAGUCUUUUUAAGUGCUCAAUCGUUGGUGGUGAAUGUCUUUACUCUUUGAAGUGUACAUCAGCAAAACUCAUUAAUGUAUCCCAAAAAAACUUGUUCAGAAAAUGCUUUGUCUCUUGUAUGGGUAAUACAUAUACGUCUUUGGCGUUGUCUUGCUCACACAUCCUUUGAACUUUGAUCAAUUUUCUCAGCUUUCAAUACUGAAAUAAAUUUAUGUAUGUAUAGACCCAUUUCUCUUUGAAAAUUCAACACACUGCAAAGUACCGGAAGCAUAUAAUAUAUUCCAUAUCGCAACUACACUGAUAAGAAUAUCCAGUUUAAUCGCUUGCAUAUGAUUCGGGACAUGUAUUAUUGACCAAUAUAUAUGAUCGGUUGGCUUGUUUUUAGGUAGACAGAUGAUGUGAAGUUAAUGUAUUCAGUAUUUUUAUUAAAUGAAGUUUUUCAUUUAUGAUUCAAGACAACAUUUAGAGCUUUUAUAAUGCAAAUAUAUCGUACCAUAAUUCUUGAUAAAAAAAAAAAUCGUACCAUAAUCCCAGAGCAGAAAUUACAAAUUGUUUCGUCUAAACCGACCGCCUCUCUCUCCUCGGACGACCGCCUCUCUCUCUUCUUCCUUGGCCACGGUGCAGAUCAUCACCUAAUCGUCCCUUGUCCGUGUCAUAUUGUUAGAACUCCCGUGGAGAGAAAGAGACGCAAAGCUUUUGCUUAUAUGUAUCGUGAACACUAUGGCUGUGUCGUUGUAUCAGGCUUUCAGCUUCUCAUUGCUCAAUGUAAAUAUGAUUCUUAAUAAAGUUUUUAUUUGUUUCCAUUUAGGUAUGCGUUUACAUUUCCAUAGUAUAUAGCAUAAUAAUUCAUAUGAAAAAACAAUCGGGUAUAAUCAUCGAAUGAAGUUUAACAAGAAUUAUAACCAUAGUAAUUAAAUGGACUAAAGGCCAACCAAUGCCAAUCUCAAAGAAUAUGAUGACUUCAGAAAUAAACAUGUAGUCAUCCGAUCUACUAGAUCUACAUUCACUUCAUUUAUAUUUCUUUUAAACCGAAAAUUAAACUAGAUGGACCAUACUAAAUGAAAUACUCAUUUGCAAAAUACGGGAAUGUGACAUUCAAAGCUAUAAACACAAUCGAAAAUAAGAAGGAAAAAAGAAAAAACAGAAAGCCACUCGCCCGUCUAGUGAUUUUAGUUGUUAUGCCAAAUUUCCAAGCCCAGAGUAAUCAUCUCGAGUGGCACAGACCUUGAAUAGGUAACUAUGGGUUCGGAUUGGUCAACUGCAUAAGCCAUUUGCUUCGGCCCAAGACAAGCCUUUAUCUCUUCUCCUUUACCUGUGGUGGAAACGUCACAAAGGUUAGCGUACGUUCCUGCACUAAUGAGUGGCGUAUCCCCAACUCUAACCAGCCACAAAGGUGUUAUCAAACCUACUGAAGCCGUAUUCAAUCAAACAAGAAUCCAUUAAAUGUUGUAAUUAGAAAGUUUAGAGACUGAAUAUUUCUGUGUGUUAUUAAUGAACAAUAGAGGUUCCUUAUAUAAGGAUUACAAAGUAUAGGAAAUUUUUUUUUAUCCAAAACCUAAUACAACAUGAAAUAGGAAAAGAUAUAAAACAGAAAAGGAAAACGUCCUAAGACUAAGACGGUCUAAACCGACCGCCUCUCUCUCCUCGGACGACCGCCUCUCUCUCUUCUUCCUUGGCCACGGUUUGGGCCUUGUCUUGGUCAUUGGUUAUGGGUCAUCCACUUAAUGAUUUAUAACACUCCCCCUUGGAUGCCAUAACCAUACAGGAUUCGUAGUACGCUUCAUGUUGCCUCAUUAAAACCUUAUCAGGAAAACCCAGUGGGACAAAACCAUGAUGAAGGAAAAAGAGUACAACACGCACUACUCCCCCUGAUGUGAACCUCACUGUAGGUUCUACAUUCUACGCAUCUUGGUGCGUGAUAUUUCCUGUAUGUAUAGGAUGAGAGUAAUCUGCCAGUUUCAUUACUGAACCGUAAUUAGACCAUUUCGACUUCUUAGGUCGUUUCUCAUGUCCUUUGACAUUGAGUGUCCCGGUAAAGCAUGUGUGCUAAACAAUAUGAACCAUAUUGUCCUCGGAGAUCACUAUUUGGUCUUUGCAAACCGUGUUUGCAUAUGUCCAUAGUCUAGACGUGAUCGUCUACUAUCAACUGCUCUUUACUUUGGCGAUUUAUGGUUACCAUCGACCAUGUAUCAAUCUGGCCGAAUCAUGACCGGGUCAUAGACCUCGUCUAUAAGUGUCCACUACUUGCCUUGUGGAGUUUAUACGGCAGCAGACCGUUCUGCUAUGCUGGAUCCUUACUUAGGGGAUCAGAUGUCGGAUUGCAACCUGAUGGUUGAUCUUUCGUUUUACUAGUCCGUGAUCAAGGGAUAAGGACCGGAUGCCUUUUAGCCGAUGGGCCGGACGUUUUUAGUCGGAGUGUUGGACGCCUUUAGCUAGAGGAUCGGACGCCUUCAGCCGGACACCCAUAUAGAUUUAUUCUAUGCUUCUUUUAGGUUUAGUAUAAUCACAAGGAAUUUCAAAUAUAUGGACUGUAUUGGAUUGUCUUUUAUACAACUCCAAGAUCAUGCGUGAUCACUUUAUUUUACAUACUAUAGGCAGUUGCUUUUCAGUCCAUGAAUCAGCUUAGGAACAAAGCUGUUCUUUCAAUUUAUCCAGUGAUCCAUAUGCUGCUUACUACAUCAUUUGUAUCUAAUUUCUUUCUUAUGACCAGACCAUUAUCAAUUUCAAAAUCUGUAGCAGUAUCCACCACAUAGGAGUUUAUCUCCUUAUAAUCUGUUCCUUUGAUCUCUGUGAGUACCUUGUGUAACAAGCUUUAAUAUAAUGCUGUUAGUAGGAAAACAUGAACACCUUUACAUCAUGUACAUCUCUCACGGUUUCUUUACUUCUCACAAGAUCCAUCUAUUUCACUGGUUGAUCAGAUGGCGUUUCUGUAUAUGUAUAUGGCCAAUACGUCCAUCUCUCUUUUAGAUACCUUGAACCUCCACGUUUUAUCUUUUCUAAUCUCUAUGAUCUUUUAUGAUUGUAUGAGUACUCAUUCGUGGGUUCAUUAUCCUCGUUCAUCUCUUUAUGUUCAAGUGCUAUAACUUUAUGUAUCUUUAUACAAAUGUGUGUGUGUGUCGACACUUUCAUGUGGUUCCAUUAUGUUCCAGACAUGAUCUAUAGAUUUGAGAUCUUAUUAUCCAGGACCUUUAUUACCUAGUAGCUUGGCGUCCCAAGACUACAUGGUUUGGUACCUUAGAUGUGUAGCUGCGCAGCCUUUUCUCAAUGUCUGUUUGGUUUCUAGUAUGAUCUCGGAUCUAUCAUCCCAUGCACCAUUCCUUUCUAUCCGAGAUCCCUUUAUCUUAUGGAACACUUGGUCUAUCUUGUAUAGACUCUAUAGCAACUUGAUUAUGUCUCUUCUAGGACAUUCAUUUGGUGCUAAGCUGGUUAGUCAUUUCUCGGGUCAGUGUCUGGCAUUUCGAUUAGCUUCUCAAUUAGCUAGCUUUAUAUAAUCUUUCUUUGGACGUCUUAAAUUAUAAUCUCUAGUCCGAGGAUCCUUGCCAAGACAAUGAUGGUUUAAAACCAUUCUUAUCAUUCUUUAUCCAGCUUAUAAUCUUUCUUUUUGAAUAUCCGGAUUCAUUUGUUUCAUGCAAUCCGUACCUGGCCACUAUUUUGACAACCCAUAUUUUGGCUCACGGUUCUUUUGAAUUUUUGGAGAAAGUUCUUAUUCUUAUAUAUUCCCAAUCCUCUUCUGAGGUUCCAUCUUAGACGGCACAUGUAUGUAUGUGGUGGUUUAUUCAAAAUCUCUUAAGAUGGUGUAUGUCUGGUUUUAUGACCCGUAUUCAAUUUGAGAUGGGAAUAUCUAUGCUCACUUUAUAUGGCCUGAUGCAUAUGACAAUUCCAUACAUGUAAAUUCAUAAUGUUCCAAGCUUAUAGACUUUAGAAUCUUAGUCUUAUAGAUAAUAGUUUCCCUUUGUGUACAUGUUUCACAACGUGAGAUCUUUUACGGGAUAACUCUGUGCCUUUUCAAUCUUUGCAUCUAGUUUAGACUUUUACGAUGGCUAAUCCUAUCAUGCCAUAUAGUGUAAAAUUUCGUGGUGUAUCUCAAUAUGGUCACCACGGUUCUUGCCUCUCAUCAUACUGAUCUUAUAGCAUAGUUUAAAUCAGUUGAGAUCAUUAGGUAUAGUCUCGACCACUUUCUUAUAAGGUCUUAGGCGAUUUUUCUUUCAAAAUCUGAAGGAACUUGUUUCCUUUUGUUUGCCCAUUGUUUCUAUUUAGAAACCAUACUAUCCUAACUCAAUGGGUCACAUAUUAUUGGGUGUAUCUAAUGUCCUUUAGACAAUGCCUUAGCCAUAGUUUCUUUACUAGGCUUACUAUACACAUUCAUGAUUUCUUACUUGGUUUUAUGCCCUUUAGGCAACUCUUUAAAAUCAUUUAUAUGUUCAAGUAAAACCAGGCAAGAUAAUGAACUCAAAAUCAAUUCUAUUAUAUAUAUAUAUAAAAUCAUGAAACAUCAAAGCAAAUCAUAAAGCAAUAAGACAAGUCGUAUCGAAAAUUUAGUCCUUGAGACAAUCAGAAGUCUCAAAGUCCAUCUGGUCAUUUUUAGCAAUGUCGGAAUCAUUAUCGGCCUCAUAUCCGGAAUCGUGAACCAUGUGAGCCUCAGGGUUCUUGUUCUUAAGACUUUCUUGGUAGAGCUCACAUAAGUGCUUAGGGGUUCUACAGUUCUUGGCCCAAUGGUUUCCCAUUCCACAUCUGUGACAAACGGAUUUGGUCGAGUAAGACGGUUUGGAUAUGCCACCUCGACCACGGCCAUAACUACCUCGGCCACGGCCAUAAUUGGAACCACGACCACGGUUAUUGUGGUUUCCUUUCCGGCCGGUCGAGUAGUUGUCUCGGCUGUUCGAGUAAUUGUCACUGCCACGCCCCUUGUAACCACCACGGCCAUUGCCGUGUGAUCUCUUAUUGUUUUGGACGUAAUUGCACUCGUUGGGUUCUUUCUUUUCAACCUCAUUAGCUUCCGGUAAUGGUGCUGUUCCAACAGGUCUAGCUUCACUGUUCUUCAUCAGGAGCUCAUUGUUUGCCUCGGCCAGAAGCAGGCACGAGAUCAGAUCAGUAUAUGUGGCGAAGCCUUUCAUUAUGUACUGCUGUUGCAGUAUCACAUUCGAUGAAUGGAAUGUAGAGUAAGUCUUCUCAAGUAACUCUUCUUCGGUUACUACUUCACCACAAAGUCUCAGCAUCGAGACCGUCUUAAAUAAGACUGAAUUGUACUCAUCCACCGACUUAUAAUCCAAGAAUCUAAGAUUCUUCCAGUCGUUUCUAGCCUUUGGAAGUAACACCGUUUUCUGGUGAUCAUAUCUAUGCUGUAAAGCAUCCCAAAGUUCUAGUGGAUUUUCCAUCGUGAUGUACUGAUCUUUUAGACCUUCAAUGAGGUGAUGGCGUAUAAUACUUAUAGCCAUGUACCGAUUCUUAUCGGUCUCAUUGUUGCCCUUGAUGAUAGUAUCACCAAGUCCCUUUGACCUUAGACUGAUCUUUGUAUCUAGCGCCCACUGCAAGUAGUUAUCUCCGGAGAGAUUAAGGGCCGCAUAGUCUCUGUUUGAGAUUUUCGACAUCUGAAUCACAUCAUCAUUUAAAAUUGAGUUUCACAAUGUGAUCAUGCGGCCGCAAGAUAUAUUAACAAGCUCGGCCACAAACAUGUCUUACGCAUUUAUGAAAAACAAUCAAUCUAGAAACGACCAUGGUGCGAUCAAUUCAUCAAGCCACUCGGCCAUGCAGUUAUAUCUAAUGCAACCGGUUUCAAGAUUGUAUAAACUACAUGCUGGUCGAUUCUUAUUUAAACAGUAUGAAUGCAAUCCAUAUUCAGAUUCAUAUGUAUGCAAGAAAUCCUUAAUCAAUCCUAGGGUUUCUGAUUUAAACACUAGUAGGAUUCGGUUUUAAGAUUAAGGUUUCAAGGCCUUUUAAGAUUUAAAACGAGAUUUAGAGUUUUAAACAUUUAAACUUUCAAACAAUGCCUCACGGCCAAGGUAUAUGCCUUACGGCCAAGUAGGAGCCACACGGCUAUUUAGUUCAAUUCAAUGUCAUCCUUAGAGUAAUAUCUAGGUUCAAUUGCAAUCAAUCAGGUAUGAUCAAAUUCGAUUAUGAAAGCAAUAAGGCCACACGGCCAUGAGAUGAUAUAAUCAAGAUCUUUAUCAAGUUUAAUUAGGAUUUUUAGUUUAAACAUGUCAAGCAAUACAGAUUCGAGUUUAAACAAUCCUAUCAAUAUCUCUAGGUGAUCAAACAAACAAUCAAAUUUCAAAUCAAACAAAUUUAAAAUCGUUUUUCCAAAUUAGGGUUUCAGGGGAUUUCGAAAACUUUGAUCUUUGAUCAAGAGAGUUUGAUUUGAGAUUCAAAAUCAUUAAGACUUUGAUUUUAAUUGAUCAAUGGAUCAAUCUCGAAUUAUGGUUUAGGGGACCAGACUUAUUCGAGCUCCGAUUUACUCUUUUAGGGUUUGAUCUAUUUGUCUUAAGGCUUUCAUCUUAGAGAUUAGAUUUUAGGGUUUCAAUCUUUACAAAACAACCAUGUUCAAUUCAUAUUCUCAGAAUUAGGAUUACCUUUGUUUUGCAGAUUGUAGAACCCGGACCACCAAGAGAACCUCGAACGGACAUGAGAUGGGACGAGUUGGAACGGUCGUGUGCUGAGGCGAGACGCGUCUGAUCGGGAUCGGAUGGUUUGGCGUCUGAUCGCGGAUGUGCGCCGAGGAUGUCGGACGCGUCUUCUUCUUGAGUUUGCGAGUGGGUUGAUUGGGAACUCAAGCUGGCUGUGAUGUGAACUGGAAACUGAGGUCGUCUAGGAUCAGGAACGCAAGCAAGAACAAUUUGGGGUUUUUCCGGAAUUAGAGUUCCAAAAGACCAAAACGGUGCCGAUUAUUGUUUCUGCGAGUGUGGACGCGUCUGAGAUCGUAUCGACAAACGGUUUUCGUUGAUGGAUUCGUCUUGUCAAGAGCUUCAAUUUGAUAUGUGGCUCGUCGUCUGGUUCCUCGGGGUUUGAGAGAUAGAACGAUUUUAAGUUGCGUCUGGAUUAUGGUUUAUGUGUGACGGAUUUUAGGUUAGGUUUUGUCUCAGGGUUUUGGAGUCUAUCGUGCUGAUAACGUGUUGUAAUUAGAGAGUUUAGAAACUGAAUAUUUCUGUGUGUUAUUAAUGAACAAUAGAGGUUCCUUAUAUAAGGAUUACAAAGUAUAGGAAAAAAGAAAUUAUCCAAAACCUAAUACAAUAUGAAAUAGGAAAAGAUCUAAAACAGAAAAGGAAAACGUCCUAAGACUAAGACGGUCUAAACCGACCGCCUCUCUCUCCUCGGACGACCGCCUCUCUCUCUCCUUCUUUGACCACGGUUUGGGUCUUGUCUUGGUCAUUGGUUAUGGGUCAUCCACUUAAUCAUUUAUAACAUUAACUUUCUUUUUGAAAACCAGGCCCAUGAAAAUUGUGUGUUUCUUUCUCAAAGAAAAAUAAGAAAAUUUUGUGUUUAAUAAAACUAUUUUCCCAAAUUAGCAUUGUGAAAAUGUGAAUUAAGGUUGAUGGUAAAAAUCCUAAGGAGCUUCGGGAGGAGAUUGUCAAUGGUGACAUUGAUGUUCCUAACUAGUGAAAAAACGUUCCUUAUAGUUGUCUCGUCGUUCUUUAUGUAGAUACGAGGAUAAAUUUUUGGAGUUGAAUCAUUUAAGUUGGAAUCUUUAAUCUAUCUUUGAUUUUGAAUGUCUGAAAUUUUUGGGAUGAUAAAGAUGGAUGUUAGUUUUUGAAUGCAUCACAAGAUUCGUUAGCAUGAUUGUAUCCGAGCCAAUUGAUUUUUUGUUUUUGAAUUUGGUAUGAAUCUGAAAGUGAAUUGAAGACAAAUCAUAACUGAGGUUUGAUGUCUUUGUCGGAAGUGUUGCAUAAUAUAGUCAAGAUUUGGGUUGUUUUUUUUUUGGUAAAAAGGAUUUGGGUUGUUGGUAAUGAUAGAUCAUUCAAAUAACGACAUUGUUGAAUGCAACAUAAGAUUUUACAACAGUACAGAGUGGUUAGUUUGACUGGUCUAAUGCGCAAUGUUAAUUUGCAGUUGCUAUUUAAAAACUUGUUGGACAGAAAUGUGACAGUGUACUAGUUCCUAAAAUGGUAGUUCGGUUGAUUGCGUCAGCAGUGUCUUUGGGUUGGGUUACCAUCUGAUAAGGUUAGCUGUACUUAACCGUACUCGAGUCAAAAAUAUUUGAAAAAACAACUAAAACCGUCUAUUAGUAAUGUCAUUUCUCUCGUUAGUUCCAAUGUCAUUGAGAAUUAUAUAAUCGUUGAUUUACUAAAACCAGAUGUAAUGCUUCAAAUAUUAUAUAGCCCACUAUCAAUUUCAAGCAUGGUUAUUUAUUAUAAUAUAGUUUAUUGGACGUUGAUAGCAAGCUUACUUGAAACGUUGACGUACUCUACCCUUAGUAUUUUAUUUAUGUACAGUUAGAUUACGACAAUACAAUAUAUAUAAUCUAUAUUAUUAAAAUAGAUGUACCCAUUUGAAAAUGUUCUUACUUCAUUAAUUAAACUCUUUUUUUUGCUUAUCGUAUUCAGUUGCAUUUAUGAAAUAUCCUAAAACGAAUAAAACUGCCUAAUUUAUUACUUGUCUUUUCAGUUACAUUAAUGAAAAUGUUUAAAUGAAAUUAAACUUCUUAUUUUAUUGUUUGUCUUUUUCAGUUACCUUAACGAAAUAUCCUUAAAUAAAUUUGGACAUAAUGUCAUUUAAUCAACCAAAAAAACUCAUCAGUUAUCCUUACGUACAUAAUUUUAAUAAUGGAGAUUUUUAAAAACGUACAUCAUUAAAAUGUCACCUCAAACAUGCAGCACUAAUAUAUAACAUGCAUCAAUAAAACUAGAAUUUGACUCACACAAUUGUACGUAUAUUAUUUCCAGUUGAUUAAAUUUAAAAAUAAUUAUUUAUUCAAAAAACAUUUAAGAAUGGAUAUGUUUUUAAAAAUUAUAUGGUAUUAUUUGCUCAUAACUCAUUUGUCAUUUGAUAAAUUGUUAGAAAGAAAAUUUUAGCAUAAUAUAACUCAGUUUUCAUUUGCUAAAUUUAUGGUUUUUAUUUAUAUUUUUUAUUAGUUAAUUAUAAUAUUUUCAUUUUAUAUUUGAAAGAUAAGAAUUUUCUUUCAAACAAUAUUUUUGUAAAUGUAUUUAUUAAAAAAUAAUCAAUUAAAAUUGUUAUUAUCAUUGAAUAUCAUUAUUUUUGACAUAAUUUGAGUUUUCGUUUACAUCAAAACUUAUCAUAUUUUAGGAUAAUUUUAAUUUAAAAUGUAAUUUUCAUAUUUUUCAAACAAAUUCUAAAAAUAUUUUUAAAAUAUUUUGUUAUAAUUGUUAAAAAAUAUAUUGAGUUGCAUUUCAAAUAAAAAGGUAAAGAUAUUAAAAAUAUUCUAAUUAAAAUAUGUAAAAUUUAAUAUAGUUUUAACUAAAUGGUCAAAAAAAAAAAAAAUUACACAUAAAAUAAUCAUGAUUUUUGUUAACUGGGAGGAUCAUUAUUUAUAUGAUAUCGCACACGAAAGAAAAAUUUCUGUUUUUAAAAUUAUCUAAUUAACUCUAUACUCAUUUUUUAUAUUUUUUAUAUGAUAUCACACAUUCGUAAAAAAAUAGAUAGUUUAAGACGAAAAAAAAUAUUUACUUAAUAAAUAUAAUAUAAACAAAUAUUACAAAUACAUCAUUUAAUAAAAUAAAUAAUUAAAAUCUGAAAAUUCAUAUAUGCGCCGGUCAGGAUCUAGUUAGAUAUAAAAUAUAUGCAUGCAUCAAGCAUGUAAGUCCAACAUUAAUUGAAUAUUUGGAAAAAUCAGGAUCAAAUCAACGUGAGAUAAUGCUCCUAUGUACAGAAGAAAUUUUCUGGCAAUUGUAACAUAUAAUAACAGGUUCAACGUUUGUCCGGAUAUUGCAUGUCAGGAGAUCUCAUUCUUAUCAUAUAAGCAUUUGGUGUUUUAGAAAUAAAACAGUUUCCUCAGUUUUCAAAUCUAACUUUUGAUAACUGAGUGUUAAAUUGAGGUUUUAUUAGUUACUUUAUUAAUUUUAAUAUUGUCGUUAGUUUCUUAUUAUAUUCUGUUUAUAGUUGUCGAAAUCUUCUACUAUCAAAUUAGAAACCAGAAUAAAAUCCAAAAAAUCAGAAACCAGAAUUCUUUUGAUAAAUCAUCUUAUAGUCGAUAAGCUACUAAAAUCAUUGAUUAGAAAGUAGGUGGGAUGAGACUGUGUUCACCGACAAAACGUUAACUGCAGAAAAUGCUUCUGCGCUAAAAUGCAAUUCCCGAAAUAGGACAUUCUUCGUAUUGUUGUAAUUAGAGAGUUAAUAGGACAUUAGAGAGUUAAUAGGACAUUCUUCGUAUUGUUGUAAUUAGAGAGUUUAAAGACUAAAUAUUUCUCUGUUGUUAUUAAUGAUCAAGGGGGUUACUUUAUAUAAGAAUUACAAGAUGAAGAUAAAAGAAAAAUGUACAUAUCCUAAUUCAACAGGAAAUACGAAAAAUACUAAAACUUAAUAAUGGAAAGAUUACAUGUACUAAGAAAAUGAAAGGGUUUCAUUUUUUCUAAGCUUUGUGGCCGUCUUUCUCUCUCCUGAAGUCGGCUCUCUCUCUUCUCUCUCUAGGCUUCGGCCGUCCCUCCAUCUUCUAGGUAUUGGGCCGGUCUUGGACCGGACCUGGUUAAUGACAAUCCACUCCAUGAUUUAUAACACUCCCCCUUGGAUGCCAUAACCAUACAUGAUUCGUAGUACGCUUCAUGUUGCCUCAUUAAAACCUUAUCAGGAAAAUCCAGUGGGACAAAACCAUGAUGAAGGAAAAAGAGUACAACACGCACUACUCCCCAUGAUGUGAACCUCACUGUAGGUUCUACAUUCUACGCAUCUUGGUGCGUGAUAUUUCCUGUAUGUAUAAGAUGGGAGUAAUCGGCCAGUUUCAUUACUGAACCGUAAUUAGACCAUUUCGACUUCUUAGGUCGUUUCUCAUGUCCUUUGACAUCGAGUGUCCCGGUAAAGCAUAUGUGCUAAGCAAUGCGGACGUUUUUAGUCGGAGUGUUGGACGCCUUUAGCCAGAGGGUCGGACGCCUUUAGCCGGACACCCAUAUAGAUUUAUUCUAUGCCUCUUUUAGGUUUAGUAUAAUCACAAGGAAUUUCAAGUAUAUGGACUGUAUUGGAUUGUCUUUUAUACAACUCCAAGAUCAAUGAUCAUGCGUGAUCAAUUUCUUUUACAUACUAUAUGCAGCUGCUUUAGGUUUCAGUCCAUGAAUCAGACCAUUUUCAAUUUCGAAAUUUUGUAGCAGCAUCCACCACAUAGGAGUUUAUCUCCUUAUAAUCUGUUCCUUUGAUCUCUGUGAGUACCUUGUGUAACAAGCUAUGAUCUAAUGCUGUUAUUAGGAAACAUGAACACUCUAGACCUCGUGAUCAUGUGCCUUUUCUCACGGUUUCUUUACCUCACAAGAUCCAUCUAUUUCACUGGUUUAUCAGAUGGCGUUUCUGUAUAUGUAUAUGGCCAAUACGCCCAUCUCUCUUUUAGAUACUUUAAAACCCUCACGUUUUCUUCUUGACUCAGUUUAGUCUUACGAAUGCAUUCUCAUACUUACGUGGGUUCUGAUCCUCGUUUAUAUCUUUGUGUUCAAGUGCUAUUCUUUUAUGCAUCUUUUAUAUAACAUUCAUGUGUGUGUCGACACCUUCAUAUGUGGUUCCAUUAUGUUCCAGACAUGAUCUAUAGAUUUGAGAUCUUAUUAUCCAGGACCUUGGUUACCUAGUAGCUUGGCGUCCCAAGUCACAUGGUUUAGUACCUUAGAUGUGUAGCUGCACAACCUUUUCUCAAUGUCUGUUUGGUUUCUAGUAUGAUCUCGGAUCUAUCAUCCCAUGCACCAUUCCUUUCUAUCCGAGAUUCCUUUAUCUUAUGGAACACUUAGUCUAUCUUGUAUAGACUCUAUAGCAACUUGAUUAUGUCUCUUCUAGGACAUUCAUUUGGUGCUAAGCUGGUUAGUCAUUUCUCGGGUCAGUGUCUGGCAUUUCGAUUAGCUUCUCAAUUAGCUAGCUUUAUAUAAUCUUUCUUUGGACGUCUUUAAUCAUAAUCUCUAGUCCGAGGAUCUUGCCAAGACAAUGAUGGUUUAAAACCAUUCUUAUAAUUCUUUAUCCAGCUUAUAACCUUUCUCCUUUAAUGUUUGGAUAGACGGAUGCAAUCCGUGUACUUGGCCACAAUAUGAUCACCCAUGUUUGGCUCAAGUUUUCUUUAUAAAUCGUGGGAGAAAGUAAUACUCCUAUCCAACAUAUAUUCUCAAUCCUCUUUUGAGGUUCCAUCUUUAGACGGCACAUAUAUGUAUGUGGUGGUUUAUUCAAAAUCUCUUAAGAUGGUGUAUGUCUGGUUUUAUGACCCGUAUUCAAUCUGAGAUGGGAAUAUCUAUGCUCACUUAUAUGGCCUGAUGCAUAUGAUCAUAUUAUCAUUCUAUACAUGUAAAAUCAUAAUGUUCCAAGCUUAUAGACUUUAGAAUCUUAGUCUUAUAGAUAAUGGCUUACUUGGCCGAACCUUUUAUGGUAAUGGCCUCUCUGGCCGGUUAUGGCCCUUGCGGCCGACCUGUUCAUAACAUGGUCUCUUUGGCCGAGUAAUGUCCUUAUGGUUUGGCCGUUUUAAAACAUGGCCUCUACGGCCGAGGAAUGGCCUUUUAUGGCCGAGCCAUUUAUAACAUGGUCUUUAGACCAUAGUGGUACACGAACUUGUAGUAUUGAUCAUGGGUUUAUCCUCUCUCCCCCUCAUGACCAUACUAUAAGGUCGUGGUGCUUGGGACAAUUAAGCCUAAUGAGUUUCCCUUUGUGUACAUGUUUCACAACGUGAGAUCUUUUACGGGAUAACUCUGUGCCUUUUCAAUCUUUGCCUCAAGUUUAGACUUUAGGAUGGCUAAUCCUAUCAUGCCAUAUAGUGUAAAAUUUCGUGGUGUAUCUCAAUAUGGUCACCACGGUUCUUGCCUCUCAUCAUACUGGUCUUAUAGCAUAGUUUAAAUCAGUAGAGAUCAUUAGGUAUAGUUUCAAUCACUUUCUUAUAAGGUCUUAGGCGAUUUUUCUUUCAAAAUCUGAAGGAAUUUGUUUCCUUUUGUUUGCCCAAUGUUUCUAUUUAGAAACCAUAUUAUCAUAACUCAAUGGGUCACAUAUUAUUGGGUGUAUCUAAUGUCCUUUAGACAAUGCCUUAGCCAUAGUUUCUUUACUAGGCUCACUAUACUACUUUCACGAUUUCUUACUUGGAUAUUAUGCCCUUUAGGCAAUUCUUUAUCAGUAAAAACAUUCAUAUGUUCAAGUAAGAUCAGGCAAGAUAUAAUGAAAUCAAAGCAAACUCUUUUAUAUAUAUAUAAAAAUCGUGAAUCAUCAAGUAGGUCAAAAGCAAAUCACAAAAUCAUAGACUUAAAAUAAAAUUAUCAUGUCGAGAUCUUUCUUUAGUCAAUGUAUAAGCCGGCCUCACAAUCUAUAUUACUCCACACGGCUUUCUUGGAUUCAUCCUGAUCCAAUGCCUCAGGAUAUCUCAUCUCACUGUUUUGUUGCUCAAUGCAUCUUUUCUGAAGUUUCUCAAAUCUGUCAAUGGUAUCUUUAACUUUCUGCUUUCUUUGCUCAGUUGCCAAUAGGUAUGACAAUAGGUCAUUAUAGGUUGUGAAAACCUUAGCUGUAUAUGAUAGCAACCGAUCCUUUGGAUGGAAUGUGGAAUAUGUUUUAUACAGUAGAUCAUUAUCUGUAACCACUUCAUCACAUAGUUCAAGACUAUGGGCGAUUUUCAUUAGAGCAGAAUCGUAUUCUUCCACGGAUUUAAAAUCCUGGAACCUGAGUAUCUUCCAAUCAUUCAUGGCUUUUCGCCAUAAUUCCAUUGAGUAUAUGGAUUUUAGUUUUAUCCAAAGAUCAUAAGGAUCCUCAAUAUCUUCAUACUUAUUUCUCAGUUCCUCAGUGAGAUGAUAGCGCAUAAUUGUUAUGGCUCUAUGCUUUUCACUUUCAAUUUCAUCAUUUCUUUCAAUGAUACAUUUCCCGAGUCCUCUAGACUUCAGGGCAAUUGAAGUGUUCAUUUCCCAUUCUGGAUAAUUAUCUCCAGAGAUAUCUAGGGCAGCAUAAUCCGAAGGCUCAAAUCUCGACAUCUGAAAUCAUUAAUAAAUUCAUGAUUUAGAAUUCUUGCAACCAAUUCAAAUAAUUAGUGCAUAUGAUUUCAUAAGUCUAUCUAUAAUACUUUAGGCUACACGGCUCAUGUUUUGUGAUGCUUAGGCCUUACGACUUUAAUCUCAAUCAAGGGCACAAGGCCGCAUGUAUGAACCAAUGCAUUAUGCCUCACGGCCAUUCAGUAUGAUUGAUAACAAAAACACAAUGCCACACGAUCCAUAUCAAUCAAAUAAUCUAGCAACCUAACUCUCAUUCAAUAUGUAAAUUCUUUAAAUCAAUCUUUCAAUCUUUAAGUAAUGAGAGAUUUAAGGUUUCAAGGCCUUUAGGAAUAUCAAUCAAGAUUAAGGGUUUCAAGGCCUUAAGGAUUUCGAAUCUUGAGAUUAGAUCUAUUAAUCAAUCUAUCAAUCCUAACAUCUCAGAUCAUCAAUCAUCAAACAAAGACAUUUUAAAAACCGAAUUUAAACUUUUUAGGGUUUCAGGUUGAGUGAUUUAGAUUCGAAUUUAAACAAUCCUAUCAAUAGCUCUAGGUGAUCAAACAAUCAAAGUUCAAAUCAAACAAUUUAAAACCGAUUUUCCAAAAUUAGGGUUUUUAGGGGAUUUCGAAAAACUUUGAUCUUUGAUCAAGGGGAUUUGAUUUAAGAUUCAAAAUCAUUAAGACUUUGAUUUUAAUUGAUCAAUGGAUCAAUCUCAAUUUAUGGUUUAGGUGAUCGGACUUAUUCGAGCUCCGAUUUACUCUUUAGGGUUUGAUCUAUUUUUCCUAUGGCUUUCAUCUUUAGAGUUCUUAUUUUAGGGUUUCAAUCUUUACAAAACAACCAUGUUCAAUUCAUGUUCUCAGAAUUAGAAUUACCUUUGUUUUGCAGAUUGUAGAACCCGGACCACCAAGAGAACCUCGAACGGACACGAGAUGGGACGAGCUGGAACGGUCGCGUGCUGAGACGAGACGCGUCUGAUCGGGAUCAGAUGGUUUGGCGUCUAGUCACGGAUGUGCGCCGAUGACGUCGGACGCGUCUUCUUCUUGAGUUCACGAGCGGGUUGAUUGGGAACUCAAGCUGGCUGUGAUGUGAACUGGAAACUGAGGUCGUCUAGGAUCAGGAACACCUUAGGGCUGGAGCUGAUCGGGUGUUUGUAAGCCGGAACACAAGCAAGAACAAUUUGGGAUUUUUCCGGAAUUAGGGUUUCCAAAAGACCAAGACGGCGCCGUGUAUUGUUUCUGCGAGUGUGAGCGCGUCUGAGAUUGGAUCGACAAACGGUUUUCGCUGAUGGAUUCGUCUCGUCAAGAGCUUCAAUUUGAUAUGUGGCUCGUCGUCUGGUUCCUCAGGGUUUGAGAGAUAAAUUGAUCUUAUGUUGCGCCUGGAUUAGGGUUUAUGUGUGACGGAUUUUAGGUUAGGUUUUGUCUCAGGGUUUUGGAGUCUAUCGUGCUGAUAACAUGUUGUAAUUAGAGAGUUUAGAGACUGAAUAUUUCUCUGUUGUUAUUAAUGAUCAAAGAGGUUCCUUUAUAUAAGGAUUACAAGAUGAAGAUAAAAGGAAAGUGUUUCAUUUUCUCUAAAACAUAUCCUAAUCCAACAUGAAAUAGGAAAAAUACUAAAACAUAAUAAUGGAAAGUUUACAUCUACUAAGAAAAAGAAAGAGUUUCAUUUUCUCUAAGCUUUGUGAUCGUCUUUCUCUCUCCUGAAGUCGGCUCUCUCUCUCCUCUCUCUAGGCUUCGGCCGUCCCUCCAUCUUCUAGGUAUUGGGCCGGUCUUGAACCGAGCUUAGUUAAUGGGAAUCCAUUCCAUGAUUUAUAACACAUAUGCUUUAAUAACCUUUACAAUAUUGUCAUUCCCUAAUAUUUUUAGCGUCGAACUCUAUUUAGAUAUGUAAAGUAAAUAGUAAAUAAUAUUCUAAGAUAUCUCUUCCACAUUAAUGUCACAUCAAUGAAUACAAGAUUAAAAUAACUUACAGUUAAAAAGAUCAAUAUUUAUAAUAAAAACGUGCAUAUAUAAAUAUAUGUUAAAUAUAUUUGAGUUUAAUAUCCAAGUCAUCUUAGUUGGGCUGUUGGGCCACAUAAUUAAUUAAUGACAUUAGGGAUGGUUCAGCUAUUGUAUAUAGUUUGAUCAUCUUGUUAGACGUGAAUUCAAUUAUUUCUAGAUAACUUUUAUUUAAUGGAACAUGUUGGACUAGUUUAACAGAAUAUUGGAUAAAGAAAAAUAAAUAAGGAGAUGAAAUUUGACAUUGCAAUUGAAAAUAUUAAAUUAAGGGUCCAACUUAGUUUAUGCAAACACAAUAUAAUGUCUAAAUGGAAGGUUAGUUGGACGGCUUAAAACAAAUUUAUCUUCCAAUAAUCAUACAAUUUUAAUAAUCAUACAAUUUUAAGACAGCUCUGUGUCUCCCACCCGUAAUUAUGUAAUUCCGAAAAUGUACGCAUAAUUUACAAAACUAGGUGAAACCCGCGCCUUGCACGGAAUAAGACACAAAAUGAAUAUUAUAUAUAUAAAUCACUUUUACAUAUUAUUAUUUAUUUGUGUUCGUUACAUAUUAUGAAAUAAUAAAUAUAUUAUAUAAUAGAAAAACAUAUAAUUAUUAUGUAUAUAAUUAAAUUAGAGUAGAACAAAAAUCAAACAAUCUCUCUUGUUUAUUUACAAUAAUUUUAUUGGUAAAUAAAUAAAAAAAAUUAUUUUAUUUAUUUUAUAUAUUAUAUAAUUAAAUUUAAAUGAUAUUGACAUAUAUAUAUAUAUAUAUAUAGUAUAUACUAAUAUGGAUAUUAUAUACUAAUAUGGAUACUUAUUAAUUGAGGUUUCAUACUCAUACAAUUUUAUUAACAUUUGUAUAUUUUGUACCAAAAAAAUUAAAUCACUAGUUACAAAAUUUUCAGUGUGAGAUUUUUAAUAAUUUUAGUAAUUUAUAAUCGUUUUAAUAAUUGAAUGAAUACUUCGAAGUUAAAUUAUUAAGGUCUCAAUACUUUUGCAACGAAAAAUUUGAAAUUAACAUAUUUAUGUAUUUUUAUAUAGUAUAUAGUUUAAUUUUCAUAUGAUUUUAUGAUCAUUUGUAUCUUGUUAUAACAAAAAACUAAACCACUGAUCAUAAAUUUUUUAAUGUGAGACUUUUAACAAUAUUAAUAAUUUAUAGUCAUUUUAAAAAAUUCAAAAUAUAACAUAUAAGAAAAAAUCUAAUUUUUUAAAUUAUAUGAUUAAUGUGAUUGUUUAGGUUCUUUUAAGCAUAUAAAAUUAAACAAAAAUGAUGAAGAAUACAAAAAUUGUUAUAAAAUAUUUAUUAUUUAAAAUCAUUAAUUGUCAUAUAUAUGUUAAUGAUAUUAUAUAAUUCUGUAGCUUUUAUUUAAGAAAGUAAAGGAGAAUAUUUUUGUACACUGCUAAUCAAUUUUACAUUUAGUUUAACAAAAGUAUAAUAUAUGUUCAGAUGGACCAACUAAUUUUUCUAAAUUUUUUAAAAAUCAUUUUAGUAAUGACACGUCACUACAAAAGAUGUUGUAAUGCUGCUCAAUUAAUAUAUAAGGAUGGUAGGUUUGAAUUCUUUGUCUUAUAUAAAGAUAUGAAAUAUGUUUUAGAUUUUUUAUCUUUAUUUAAUUUUGGCUAUAUAUUUUUAAAAUUUUUCAGUUCAAGAUUAUUCAAUAGUAGUUUCAAUAAAAUUAACUAGGGAUAAUAUAGACAAAGGUACUAAAAAUCUUAUAACAUAAAGAAGAAGACAACUCUCUUCUUAGCCUGCCAGCGCAACAAAUAGAGAGAGGAGAACGCGACACGUGUCAUCUAUUUCAAAACGCUUCGUAUAAUUUAUUUUGUGUUCUUUACGCUUACGUUUAAGUUCUUCUUGAUUAUGAAGAGUUAAUGGCUGCUCUGUUUUUUGAUAUGCUUAUGAUCGAGCAGUGGAAGAGCAAUCAAUAAUAUGAGAAUUAGUCGCGUAGGGCAGAAAAGAAUGGCAUGUGGAAGAAGCUUCAUUGUUAAAGUAAUACUAUAAAUUGCAUUCUCAUUGAGCUUCUUGCAUCAUAAGUAAUAUAUUUCUCAGUAACAUGGUCUGUUUUUGGAUGAUCUAGACCAGGUCACCUUCUACACUCCUAGGCAUGACAAGUCAGAUAAUAGGAAAACAAAAGCUUGCCACGUGUCUCUCUAAGGUAGCUUUGUUUCUUCAUGAAUAAACAAGCAGAAGAAGAAGGCUAAGGGAAACCGGAACGUUAUCUUCUGGUUGGACACAGACACUACAAGAAAACAUAAUCUUAACGAGGGCGGUUUUCCUCGUGAGUUCGUCGUAAAAGAGGCUUUACGACGAAUUAGCGAGGAACCACGUUUGGUCGUUACUCAUCUGUCGUAACACAUAUUUCCUCGCUAAUUCGUCGUAACGUAGCGAGGAAUAUAUUUCGUCGUAAAGACGAAGUAGAUUAUUUCGUCGUAAAGACCACGUCAACAUUCCACGUAAGGAGGUCGCUAUAUUUCCUCGUAAAUACCUCGAAACAAGUUCCUCGUAAACUACACGUAAAUACCUUGAAAGUGUUUCCUCGUAAAAUACUCGUUUAUCUUUCCUCGUUAUUUCCUCGUAAAUGUUUUCUCGUAAAAUACUCGUUUAUUAUUUCUCGUCAUUUCCUCGUAAGGUUUCCACGUAAAUAGGUCGUACCUUAGCUACGAAUUUACUUCGUUUUUAUUAUUUUACAGAAUUUAAAAAUAUAAUUAAAAAAUAAUUAAAAUUAUUUAAUUUAUUAAUAAAAUUGAAAUUUAAAAUAAAAAUAAAUCAAUAUGAAAAUAUUUUAUAUAUAAAUAAGUUUUGAAUUUAUGAUACAACAACCGGAAAAAAAAAACUAAGGGUCGUUCAUCGCCUGGUAGAAUUCAUCACUCCUCCUCGUAACAUCCGCCUCGUUAUGUACGUCGGAGGANNNNNNNNNNNNNNNNNNNNNNNNNNNNNNNNNNNNNNNNNNNNNNNNNNNNNNNNNNNNNNNNNNNNNNNNNNNNNNNNNNNNNNNNNNNNNNNNNNNNNNNNNNNNNNNNNNNNNNNNNNNNNNNNNNNNNNNNNNNNNNNNNNNNNNNNNNNNNNNNNNNNNNNNNNNNNNNNNNNNNNNNNNNNNNNNNNNNNNNNNNNNNNNNNNNNNNNNNNNNNNNNNNNNNNNNNNNNNNNNNNNNNNNNNNNNNNNNNNNNNNNNNNNNNNNNNNNNNNNNNNNNNNNNNNNNNNNNNNNNNNNNNNNNNNNNNNNNNNNNNNNNNNNNNNNNNNNNNNNNNNNNNNNNNNNNNNNNNNNNNNNNNNNNNNNNNNNNNNNNNNNNNNNNNNNNNNNNNNNNNNNNNNNNNNNNNNNNNNNNNNNNNNNNNNNNNNNNNNNNNNNNNNNNNNNNNNNNNNNNNNNNNNNNNNNNNNNNNNNNNNNNNNNNNNNNNNNNNNNNNNNNNNNNNNNNNNNNNNNNNNNNNNNNNNNNNNNNNNNNNNNNNNNNNNNNNNNNNNNNNNNNNNNNNNNNNNNNNNNNNNNNNNNNNNNNNNNNNNNNNNNNNNNNNNNNNNNNNNNNNNNNNNNNNNNNNNNNNNNNNNNNNNNNNNNNNNNNNNNNNNNNNNNNNNNNNNNNNNNNNNNNNNNNNNNNNNNNNNNNNNNNNNNNNNNNNNNNNNNNNNNNNNNNNNNNNNNNNNNNNNNNNNNNNNNNNNNNNNNNNNNNNNNNNNNNNNNNNNNNNNNNNNNNNNNNNNNNNNNNNNNNNNNNNNNNNNNNNNNNNNNNNNNNNNNNNNNNNNNNNNNNNNNNNNNNNNNNNNNNNNNNNNNNNNNNNNNNNNNNNNNNNNNNNNNNNNNNNNNNNNNNNNNNNNNNNNNNNNNNNNNNNNNNNNNNNNNNNNNNNNNNNNNNNNNNNNNNNNNNNNNNNNNNNNNNNNNNNNNNNNNNNNNNNNNNNNNNNNNNNNNNNNNNNNNNNNNNNNNNNNNNNNNNNNNNNNNNNNNNNNNNNNNNNNNNNNNNNNNNNNNNNNNNNNNNNNNNNNNNNNNNNNNNNNNNNNNNNNNNNNNNNNNNNNNNNNNNNNNNNNNNNNNNNNNNNNNNNNNNNNNNNNNNNNNNNNNNNNNNNNNNNNNNNNNNNNNNNNNNNNNNNNNNNNNNNNNNNNNNNNNNNNNNNNNNNNNNNNNNNNNNNNNNNNNNNNNNNNNNNNNNNNNNNNNNNNNNNNNNNNNNNNNNNNNNNNNNNNNNNNNNNNNNNNNNNNNNNNNNNNNNNNNNNNNNNNNNNNNNNNNNNNNNNNNNNNNNNNNNNNNNNNNNNNNNNNNNNNNNNNNNNNNNNNNNNNNNNNNNNNNNNNNNNNNNNNNNNNNNNNNNNNNNNNNNNNNNNNNNNNNNNNNNNNNNNNNNNNNNNNNNNNNNNNNNNNNNNNNNNNNNNNNNNNNNNNNNNNNNNNNNNNNNNNNNNNNNNNNNNNNNNNNNNNNNNNNNNNNNNNNNNNNNNNNNNNNNNNNNNNNNNNNNNNNNNNNNNNNNNNNNNNNNNNNNNNNNNNNNNNNNNNNNNNNNNNNNNNNNNNNNNNNNNNNNNNNNNNNNNNNNNNNNNNNNNNNNNNNNNNNNNNNNNNNNNNNNNNNNNNNNNNNNNNNNNNNNNNNNNNNNNNNNNNNNNNNNNNNNNNNNNNNNNNNNNNNNNNNAAAACAAAUACAUCAAUCGGAUACAUCGACAUUCUCGUCAUCACUAGAAACAUCAUCAUUUUCAUUAAACUCGUCUUCAACAGCUUCGUCUGUGGCAUCAUCGGUAAGAUCUUCGUACUCGUGAUUAUGCGGAUCAAUGAGAAGGAUGUCAUCAAUUUCUUGUUCAGGUUCCUCGACUUCAUUUAUCUGUUCUUCUUGCAAUGGUGGUUCUUCUCCACUGAUGAUUCGUCCUCGAGGUGUAACUUUGAUCACUGCUAACCAAUUUAUACCUGAAUCUCUCAUCCGAGGGUAUGGAAGGAAGCUAACUUGGUCUGCUUGUGAAGCUAAGAUGAAAGGCUCGAAUUUGUUGUACCUUCGUCCACCGUUGACAUCAACUACACCGAAUUUGUUAGACCGAACACCUCUGUUGACGACGGGGUCGAACCAUUCACAUUUGAAGAGGACGCAUUUCAGCUUCAGUAUCCCUGGAAAUUCGACUUCAAUAAUCUCCGUCAAGAUCCCGUAGAAAUCUGUUUCCCCUUUCACACAUAUUCCAUAGUUACUGGUCGCCCGCUGUCUACCAUACUCAUAUGUAUGAAAAGUAUAGCCUCGUGUGAAAUACAUCUGUGAUGUGGUGACCUUUACAAGUGGAGAUUGAAUUACUUCGUGUAACCACUUAGGAUAAUCUGCAUCUGUGAUGUGGUGACCUUAAAAAAAAAAACGUGUAACACCUACAAAAUUGGUGGAUUCAAAAUUUCCUCGCUAAAUACACGUAAACUAUUUCCUCGUAAAUAACACGCAAAGUUUACGUCGUAUUUACGAGGAAAUAGUUUUUCCUCGUAAAAUACUCGUUAAAUUACAUCCACUUUACCACGAAACACUUUUGUCGUUACGUUACGAGGAAAUAACGAUGACUUUAGUUUUCAACGUAAGUUCCUCGUAAAAUCGACGUAAAUUUACGAGGAUUGUUUUUCCUCGUUAAAUUUCCUCGCUAAGCAUGUGUUUUCUUGUAGUGAGACGGUAAACCGAAUCAAUUUUUUAACCAUCCAAACUGUUUUUCCUAAUCAAACUGGUUCUACUUAACCGGGUUAUGGUGUUGUUGUAAUAUCUUUAAGCGCUUGGAAUGCAUUGGAUCGCUUGGUGCAAGCAAAUUUUAUGUCUAAGAAAAAAGAGGAGAAGAAUGUGACAAGUAAAGUGAUGGAAGAUUUAACUCCAUUAAUGGAGCUAGAAUAGGAGGAAGCUUUAUGCUUGGAUCAACAAGUUCUGGAACCAAAUCUCCACCCAUAAAUGUAGACAAGACAAUCAGUUUUUAUAUUUUUAUUUUGCAAUUUUUAUUUGAUCCCAAUAGUCCAAAAACUACGGUUGAUAUUGACGAAGCCUUUUUUUUUUGUAUUUUUCAUUCACUAUAAAUAAAAAUUUCAAAUUUCUUCUUGAUUUUGCUUUUAUGUGACAGAUUAAAACAAAGGAUUUUGUUUGGUAUUUACAAGGAACUGUUACUUUUAUGUUAGUUUCAUCUGCGAUUAGUGUUUGAUGUUGUUUGAAAUGUCAAUUUGAUCUCUUCCUUUUGCAAUGGUGCAGCUGAAAAGUUUCAUGCAGGCAUAAAAGUAUUCAAAUCUGCUUUAAAAUUUGUGGCCAAUAUAGUGGAUAUUUACUCUUGGGUUGCGAUAGCUACUGUGAUUCUCGAUAUUGUUUGCGAAGGGAACGGUGGUACAUGAUCAAGCAACGGGCUAUUGGUGAUCACGAGACACAAGAGCCACGGUAGUUGCAUAACUGAUUUUACAUGUUUUUUCUGAAGUGUGGUUUUACAUGUUUUUCUGAAGAUUAAUAUUACGUUUGAAUCAUUGAAAAAUGGUAAUAAUCUUCAUGAGAUUAACAUAGCAUAAACCCAUUUGAAAUUAAGUUGUGAGGGUUUUAGGAAAGAAUUAUUCUUGAGUUCAUCCCCUAGGGUGAACCUCUAGGUUCUCCAACCAAUAGGAUUUUGUUAUUUCAUAUUCGAUAUAUUUUAAAAAAUGAAAUAAAAUAUUGUCAAGUUAUACUAUGUUUUAAAAAUAUCCCAUAAAAUAAAAUAAUAAAAUCAACAGGAACUAAAAAAUGUCCUAAUAAACAAUGAUUUUAAACUCAUUUUCAAACGGAGAUAAUGUUUCAUAAGCUCAAACCAACGAAAAGAUCUCUAAUCUCACAAAUAUUUUUUCUUUUGUGUUACUAAACUCAAAAACCAAAAAACUAAUAUUAAAAUUGAUAGAAAAGCAAAAUGAUAAAUUAUACAUAAUCAAACAUAUUGCUUAAAAAGAGUAAAAUAAAAUAAAAUACAAACAUCGACACACUUUUAAAGAAAGCAAAACGGCAUCGUAACAUCGUCUCUUGCACUUUUUAAUUUAAGAAAUUAAUUGCAAAGUUUUGACGAACCGUAAUAUACAAGAAAUCUAAAAAAAAUAUGAUAAUGGAUUACCUCAAAUAAAUCAAACAAAAAAAGUAAAUACAUCGCCUCAAUAAAAAUAAAAUAUUAUAUCAUUCCAAGAAUCACAAUAAUAUAAUUAUGCAAUUUGGUCAACAACAGCUAAUUCAGCUCUCGAUAUCAUUAGAUAUUAUAUAAACAAAGAUCACAUGUAAAUAAUGUUACACAAAAACAGAUAAUUAUUAUCUUGAAACUAAAAAAAAUGUCCAUCUAAAUACUUAAUUACGUCAAAACCCCGCGCGAAGCGCGGACUUACCCUAGUGAAGCUAUAUUUAAAUUGUGAAAACUAUUUUAGUAUAAUUUUACAAGGUAGUAAAUGUCCAUUUGUGAUUAUGGAUACAAAAAGCUUAACUAUCUUAAUGUCCGUAUAUGUUUAGAAAAAAAACUUUGUCCCUAGUUUCCUUUCGUUUUGAAAAAAAACUAGUUUUUUUUCUUUUUAUAUUUGGAAGCCUUUAAGCAAAAAAAAACUAGAUUGUAUAAUGUGUUAUUAAAAAUGUUUGUCUGCCCUUAAUUUUUGAUGUGGAAAAAAUUAAUUUCUCUUUGUAUUUAUUUAUUUUUAUGAUGUGAUUUGUUUCAAAUCAUUUCAAUUAAAAAUAUUAGGUUAUGGAAUUACUUACUUGUAUUGAUCAUUCUUGAUGUACAUAUAUAGUUAGAGUACAAAGAUAAAUAAGGAAGCUAAUAUACAGCAGUAAUGAUAGAGACGUUAGAGCAUAAUUAUAUGCUGUUUAAUAUAUACUUUCUAUAUGUCUUACACACCCCCACAAGACGGACGGCCGGUAGAGAAUCCGAUCUUGAGAAGUAAAGAGUCGAAUGUAGAGCGAGGGAGGGGUUUGGUUAGAACAUCGGCUAGUUGAUCAUGGGAGGAGACAUGUGAGACUCGGAGUUGCCCAGCUUGAAUGUAUUGUCUAACAAAAUGAUAAUCAAGUGCCAGAUGCUUCAUCCUUGAAUGAAAGACUGGAUUUGCCGCCAAGUACGUUGCACCUAUAUUAUCACAAUAUAUCACCGGUGUGGUUGUUGAUUUGAUUCCAAGUUCAGUCAAGAGUGCAUUCGUCCAGCAGACUUCAGCUGUGGUAGAGGCUAAUGACCGAUAUUCUGCUUUUGUGGAGGAGCGGGAGACACCACUCUGUUUCUUAGAAGACCAUGCGACCGGGUUACGACCAAGAUAAACAAUGUAUGCCCCUGUGGAUGUGUAGUCGUCUUUGUUGCCUGCCCAGUCCGCAUCUGUGAAAGCAUGAAGCGAUGGAGUGUUAUGCGCAUGAAGUGUUAUUCCUCUCGUCAUUGUGCCAGAAAGAUAUCGAAGAAUUCUCUUCACUGCAUUCCAGUGUUCAGUGGUGGGUUUAUGCAUGUACUGCAACAUUUUGUUGACUGGAAAGUCUGGCCUGGUUAGAGAGAGAUAUUGAAGGCUCCCGACAACGGCUCUAUACUCUGUGGGAUCGGCUAGUGGAGUUCCAGAGAAGAGUGUCAGCUGCGUCGAAGAGCACAUAGGCGUGGCUAUGGGAUUGCAGUUCUCCAUCUUCGUUCUAUGGAGCAAAUCUGCAAUAUACCGAGUUUGAGUUAGGUGCAUGCCUUUAGCUGUGCGUUGAACUUCAAUGCCAAGAAAGAAAGAUAGAUCAUCUAAGUCUUUGAGAGAAAAUCUCUGUGAUAGGGAAUCUAUAAACUUAGUCAAAUGAGAUGAACUAUUCCCUGUAAGAAUUAAAUCAUCAACAUAGACAAGCAUGUAAAGAAGAACUCCCUGUUUUCGGUAGAUGAACAAUGAUGCAUCGGCUAAGGAGUUGAUGAAGCCAGCUUGAAGUAGGAACUGCUUAAGCUCAUUAUACCAAGCUCGGGGAGCUUGUUUUACGCCAUAUAUGGCUUUGCGAAACCGGCAGACUGCAUUGGGAUUAUCUUUGCUGAUGAACCCUGGUGGUUGCGCCUUGUAAACCUCAUCUUUUAAUGUUCCUUGAAGAAAGGCAUUGUUGACAUCAAGUUGACGAAUAGGCCAGUUGGAUGAGACUGCAGUGCUGAGGACUAUGCGGAUGGUUGCCGGUUUGACUACGGGACUGAAAGUAUCAUGGUAGUCGAUGCCUGGCUUUUGUGUGAAUCCUUUCGCCACCGGCCGUGCUUUAUAUCGAGCUAUCGUCCCGUCUUGAUUCCGUUUGAUCGUGAAUAUCCACUUGCAACCUACAACAUUAAAACAUGUAUCAUCAGGCAAGUUCUCAAGAUCCCAAGAGUGAUUACCUAUUUGAGCUUCAUAUUCAUCGCUCAUUGCUUUUCGCCAAUGAGGGCUUUUGAGAGCUUGAGCAACUGUUGUUGGUGGUGUUUCCAUUGUCUGCACCACUUUGGUAUGAAGAUUUAAUUUUUGCACAGGUUUGCGUUGACGAGUGCUUUGUCUGGUCGGAGGCGGUGCUGGCUGUGGCUGUGGCUGUUGCACCUCUGUUACCGGUGGCAGCUCUGUCUCCAUCGUCGUCGAUGGUGCUGUGGUGACCGUAGGAGUUACAGACGGCGUUGGCUCCUCUGUGGCAGGGAUGUUGCGUGAACUCUGGUCUGAAGGUGGAGUGACAAGACCUGAAAUAUUAUUAAUAGGAGACACAAGCUUGACAGUAGGAUAAGUCGAAGUGUUAGACUCAUCAUCGUUAGUGGUUUCUAUAGGAGCUGGUAAUGAAAAGGGGAAAACAUGUUCAUGAAAUACUACAAGUCUCGAAGUAUAAAUUCUCGAAGUUGAUCUAUCUAAACAGAAAUAUGCACUUUGUGUAAUGGAGUAACCUAAGAACACACAUGGUGUGGAUUUCUCAUCCAAUUUAUGUGAUGCAUAUGGUCGAAUCCAAGGGAAGCAUAAGCAUCCAAAUACUUUGAGCUUUUGAAAAUUUGGACUAUGUCCAUGCAAAGUUUGAAAGGGCGAUAUGAAAUCUAAAACAGAGGAUGGCAUUCUGUUAAUUAAAUAAACAGCCGUAGCAAACGCAUAGGCCCAAUAGGACCGUGGCAUUGAUGCAUGAGACAGGAGUGAAAGUCCUGUUUCGACAAUAUGUCGAUGUUUACGCUCUGCAAUGCCAUUAUGUUCUGGCGUAUGCGGUGGGCUCGUCAUAUGAGAAAUGCCAUGUUGAGCCAAAAAAAUUCUCAGCCCAAUAUAUUCACCUCCAUUAUCGGUAUAUAAUGUUUUAAGCUUGGUUUGAAAUCGAUCAUUCUUGAUGUACAUAUAUAGUUAGAGUACAAAGAUAAAUAAGGAAGCUAAUAUACAACAGUAAUGAUAGAGACGUUAGAGCAUAAUUAUAUGCUGUCUAAUAUAUACUUUCUAUAUGUCUUACAAAAAAUACAAAAUGUUGAACUAAAGAAACAUCUAUGAAAUGACUAUCUCAACAUAGAUUAGUGUUUUUCUCAAAAAAAAAAAAAAAAGAUUAGUGGAGACUCUGGAGAUAGAGUAAUAUACGAAUGUAUUUUUGUACGGUCUCAACUAAAUUUGUUGACUUGACGAAACAAUUUUGUGCUUAACGAGGAUUCGAGGAAUUUCUUCCUUAUUCUUUAGUAUGUAAUGUAUCAAUGAAAUUAGAAGCUCAGAAAAAGGAAAAAUAAAGAAUAGAAAGAAUGCGAUGAUUUCUCGUUGGUGAGUGUUCGUGUGGAGAAUAAACUACAAAGCUAUCAACAAAAAUCUCAUAAAGAAUUUGGUUUAUGGUUUUCACUGGAUUUUAAUUGAUUUCGAACACCUUGGUUAUUUAACAUGAAAAAUAAUAAUGGCAUGUAAGCAACUUGUCAUUAUCAAAGGUAGUCAUUCUUCAACAAUAGUUCCCUCGUGGUAAUCCAGGGUUUAUGUAAUUCAACGUCAUUACCUAUUCUUUGUUUAAACUUUGUUUGCAUCUGUUGAGUAGCUAUUUAAGUCACUUUCGGAUGUAUUGUUGGUCUCAUCAAAAUGUAACGUCCAGCAAAUAUGUUGGCGGUUGUCUGAUAUUUGAAGCCAGUUAUUGUCCAUUAUAACUUCUAUGGUUAGUUUUGGUAUAGUUUGCAGUGGUCAUUGUGAUUGUAUAAUGAAUCAUUAUAGCUUUAUACAAAUCUUAAUGAAUUUAUCGUCAAUACCAAGACGUCCAUGGACCAUGGAAACCACUAUAAAACCAAUAAUGCUCUAGAGAAGAUCUCACUAUCAAAACAUGUGACAAGUUGAUUACAAAUGGAAAAAACUCAAAGUCAACAAUUGCUAUAAAAUAAGAUACAGAAGUCUAAGAUUAUCCAAGUUUUAGAAUUGCUCUUAAAAACAUUGGUUUUUGUUAUAUGAUAUUCCAAUAGGAGUUUAGCCAUAAAGUGCUACCCUAACUAAUCCCCCAAAUACGACCAGACUGAAAUUAAAUCCAACAUACCUACUUUAUAAGAAAACAUAAACGAAUGUUGAUAUAUAAACCAAUAAAUAUCAAAACUCAGAAAGUUAAAACAUAAUGCUGCAUGCAAUUAUGCAAAUCAUUCUUUCAUAACAUUUACAAAGUAAUAGCAAAUUUGAGAUGUUUCGCAUAAAUAUACCACCAGCUCAUUUGAGGCAUAUACGGAUUUGAUAUGAUUCGAUUCAUCAUUAUUUAUAAUAUAUACUUAACUGUACACAUGAUUAUAUAAUCACAAAAUGAUCUGUCUUAUAAUGUACUUAUGCCGAACCUUUGCACAGUCUGCGUAUAUAUACACACACAACUAAACCCAAGAGCUACAACAAACACUAAAACUCAUCUAUCUUCCUCUCUCCCUCUCAUCAUCAUCUUUGGCCAUGGCGAAGGACUUGGAGGUGCAAGAGGGAAGAGCGGCGAGGGAUUACCAGGAUCCACCCCCGGCCCCAUUGUUUGACAUGGAGGAGCUUGGAAAGUGGUCGCUCUAUAGAGCGGUCAUAGCUGAGUUUGUGGCUACACUUCUCUUCCUUUACGUCUCAAUCCUCACCGUAAUCGGGUACAAAGCUCAGACCGACACAAGCGCCGGAGGAGCUGAUUGCGGCGGUGUUGGGAUAUUGGGGAUUGCGUGGGCUUUCGGUGGAAUGAUCUUUGUUCUCGUUUACUGUACCGCCGGUAUCUCCGGUACGUAUACUAACGGUUCCAGUCACGGUACAUAGAUUGUCACAUAACAUAUAAAGAGAAAUAUUAUAUAGUUUAUGCAACAAAUACAUCAAAAUAUAUUAAUUGUAUUAACAGAAAUUUAUAUAGAUCUCUUUGGUACGGUUUUAAUUUCAAUGUUUUGUCGAAUAAAUAUCACUUUUAGGUUAUCAUAUAUAUUUUCCUGUUCAGUUUGAAUUAGUUUUAGAUAUGUUCGGUAUGAGUAACUUCGGGUCGGCUUAUCUAAAUCAAGAUUCAACCUUACAUUUUAAAUUGAUUAGUUAAUUUAUUUGUGUUGUUGGUGUUUUAUAGGUGGUCAUAUAAAUCCGGCUGUGACGUUCGGACUGUUCUUAGCUCGAAAAGUGUCAUUGGUGAGGACAGUGUUAUACAUUGUGGCUCAGUGCCUUGGUGCCAUCUGCGGUUGCGGUCUGGUCAAAGCAUUCCAAAGUUCUUACUACAACAGGUUCCAUCAUGUCUCAAACACUCAUGCGUCCAGAUUUUAAAAGAGCCGAUCAAUUAUUAUUUUGUCUAAGCAUCAGCCAGUCAAACCGUCUAGAUAUCGCUUUAAUAUAUGAUUACGAUUUUUAUUAACUAACAAAAUUGUUAAUAACACUAGAUAUGGAGGUGGAGCCAACCAGCUUGCGGAAGGCUACAACAAAGGUACCGGACUAGGGGCCGAGAUCAUCGGAACAUUUGUCCUUGUCUACACCGUCUUCUCGGCCACCGACCCCAAGCGAAGUGCACGUGACUCUCACAUUCCUGUUUUGGCGCCACUUCCCAUUGGUUUUGCCGUCUUCAUGGUUCAUUUAGCCACCAUCCCCAUCACCGGAACUGGAAUCAACCCUGCCCGUAGCUUCGGAGCCGCAGUUAUCUUCAACCAAGAAAAGGCCUGGGACGACCAAGUACGUCAUUAACCUUUUUAUAUGGAUACGUUUUUCUAUCAAUUAAAAUACAAAUAAAUUAAUGAUGUUUAAUUAUUUUACUUUAUCUAUUUGAGCAGUGGAUAUUUUGGGUGGGACCGAUGAUCGGAGCAGCAGCGGCUGCGUUAUACCAUCAGUUUGUUCUAAGAGCGGCUGGAAUUAAAUCUCUUGGCUCCUUUAGGAGCUCUGCUUAACUUGAAUUGUUUUAAUUAAGCCACAAGUUAAUCUUUCUUCAAAUGAGGAUGAUUACCUGUAUUAAGCGUAAGCUACGUGUAUCUUCUAUUUAUUUCUAUGUUCUGUUUUUAUAAUUUCUUGGAAUUUUCCCAUUGGUCGCAAACCUGGUUUUAAUUAAUGUUGCUUUAAAAUAAAUCUCAAUUUCCGUUUUUUCAUUGAGUAGAGUUAACGUUAAUUUCAUUUGUAAGCUACCUGUAUCAUUUGUUAUUUAAAUUUCAAGUAACAAAAAGUUGAAUGAAUAUAUAAAUGAAUGAACAAAGGUGUUUGUGUAACUUUGCUGGAUAGAUGUAUUAUUCUAGUAAUUAUAAAAGUAUAAGAGUUAGUUUAGUCAUUACAUGUAUGAUUAGAGUUAUUAUAAGUAAUAUCUCUUAAUUUAAUUAUAAGAACUUCACUAAGAGAUUACCAAUGAGGUUAUCCUAAUUUCUUGAGAAUCAAUAGAUAUGAAUAAAGUAUACAAACACAAGAAGAGUGUCACAAAUUUAUAACUUAUUUGAUCUAUAUAUAGACCAUAUAUAAACAAUGUCAAUCAAAAUGAUUAGAGGGAAAUUCCACAAAAGAGUGAAAAUCAACAAACAAACAAAAAUAACUGCAUUAACCAAAUUGGUUUUCAUGACUUUUCUUCACUCAUUCGAAAGACCUUUUCUUCUUUUGUUAUUCAUUGUACAAUCAUACAAAUUUUCCAUCUUCGACACAGUUCCAUUGGGAACCUUAGACACUCUCCUCCUCCAUUGUUUCUAUGGUCUCUAAUCACUGAAACAAAGGCGAGCCCCUUAUCACCAGUGUUGGUGGUGACCAACCAUCUUCAAACCCUUUUAUUAGGGUCUUUUUUCACCGAUCCUAUCCCGAUAUUAGUAUAUUCUUGAGAACAUCAGUUUCAGCUUUUCAAGUGAAGCAUGUUUACCGGUAUUUUUGCUCCUUUAACACUUUUGCCACUCGUAUCGCUGUAGUAAUUUUAAUUUGUUGUUUAGCUGUCGAGUUUAUCUCUGAUUGUAACCUUUCAAACCUGUCAGACGUUUAAUUUAAUAUAAGAGUUUGGUGCAAAAAAAAAAAACCAAGCAACAACUAUGAACUAUCUCAUCUAUUAAACCAAUCAGAUAAAACCCACAAACACACACACACACAACAAACAAAACAAAACAAAACCAAACAUUAACAGAUAUAACAGAGAAGAAAACAUGACAUACCUUACUCUUUGCUUAUAUGUGUGUCCAUUGCAGGAAGCAGACUUGUUCAUGGUCCAGCUUAUUCAAACCUACCUGCUUUCUCUCCACAUCAGCUUACGAUUUUUUUCCACCCAAGAUCAUCUCUCGCUGACAAUAGACCACCAAAAAACUUGCCAUCUUUUCACCUUCACCUUCAAAGACAUCUAACGUAGAAGCAGAAACAUAAGGAAGCAAAUUUUCAUCAGUUGAACACAAAAAUGAGGGCCAAUUAAAUCAUGCUGAUUAUUAAAAACUACUCCCUCCGUUCUCUUAUAAUUGUCGUUUUAGAGUUUUUGUUUUGUGUCAAAUUAUUUGACGUUUCCAAACUUCUAUGUAGAAUACAAUGAUUUUUGACUUGUUUAUCCUUGCAUUAAUAGCUAUGAAAACAGAGGGAGUAUAAAAUAAACUUUAAAAUCAAUCGUUUUAGUAAUAUUCCGUUAAUAUUCCUUCAUGCAUCUAUAUUAUUAAAAGAGAAAUACCCAUUUGAAAAUGUUCUUACUUCAUUAAUUAAACUUCCUAUUUUUUUGCUUGUCUUUUUCAGUUGCAUUUAUGAAAUAUCCUAAAACGAAUAAAACUGCCGAAAUUAUUAGUUGUCUUUUCAGUAACAUUAAUGAAAUAUGCUUAAAUGAAUUUAAACUUCAUAUUUUAUUGUUUGUCUUUUUCAGUUACCUUAAUGAAAUAUCCUAAAAUAAAUUUGGACAUAAUGUCAUUUAAUCAACAAAAAAAACUUAUGAGUUAUCCUUACGUGCAUAAUUUUAAUAAUUGAGAUUUUAAAAAACGUACAUCAUUAAAAUGUUACCUAAAACAUACAUCACUAAUAUAUAACAUGUAUCAAUAAAACUAGAAUUUGACUCACACAAUUGUACUGAUAUUAUUUUCAGUUGAUUAAAUUAAAAAAUAUUUAUUUAUUCAAAAAAUAUUUAAGAAUGACUAUGUAUUUAAAAAUUAUAUGGUAUUAUUUGCUCAUAACUCACUUGUCAUUUGCUAAAUUGUUAGAAAUAAAAUUUUAGCAUAAUAUAACUCAGUUGUCAUUUGCUAAAUUUAUGGUUUUUAUUUAUAUUUUUUAUUAUUUAAUUAUAAUAUUUUGAUUUUAUAUUUGAAAGAGAAAUGAAUUUUCUUUCAAACAAUAUUUUUGUAAAUGUAUUUUUUAAAAAAUAAUCAAUUUAAAUUGUUAUUAUCAUUGAAUAUAAUUAUUUUUGACAUAAUUUGAGUUUUCGUUUACAUCAAAACUUAUCAUAUUUUAGGAUAAUUUUAAUUUAAAAUGUAAUUUUCAUAUUUUUCAAACAAAUUCUAAAAAUAUUUUUAAAUAUUUUGUUAUAAUUUUUUAAAAAAAUAUUGAGUUACAUUUCAAAUAAAAAGGUAAAAAUAUUAAAAUAUAUUCUAAUUAAAAUAUGUAAAAUUUAAUAUAGUUUUAAGGAAAUGGUCAAAAAAAAAUUACACAUAAAAAAAAUCAUGAUUUUUGUUAUCUGGGCGGAUCAUUAUUUAUAUGAUAUCGCAAAUGAAAGAAAAAUUUAUGUUUUUACAAUUAUCUAAUUAACUAUGUAUACUCAUUUUUUUAUAUUUUUUUUAUAUGAUAUCACACAUUCAUAAAAAAAAUAGAUAGUUUAAGAUGCAAAAAGAAAAAUAUUUACUUAAUGAAUAUAAUAUGAAUGAAUUUUAUAAAUACAUCAUUUAAUAAAAUAAAUAAUUAAAAAUUGAAAAUUCGGAUCUAGUUUAUAAAUUAUACUAUGUAAACCCCUUAAAUAAAAUUUAGUUGCUGUCAGAAAAAAAAAAGUCAGUUUGGAUUCAGUUACUAAAUUCUGGUAGAGAGCCGCAUUAAACGUGGUCAACGAAAUAAGUACUUGCCGUAAUAAACUCAAAACUCCAAUGAAAACGACGACGUUACAGUCAACUUAAGAAACCACCUUUGUCUUGUUUUCUCAUCAGUGUGAUCAGAGAGUUUCGCACUAAAAAAAUAUGGCGUCCCGCGUUCUCCUCCUCCUCUCUCUCACCGCUCUUNNNNNNNNNNNNNNNNNNNNNNNNNNNNNNNNNNNNNNNNNNNNNNNNNNNNNNNNNNNNNNCUCCCCGCUCUUCUCAUCUUCUCCGCCGUUUCUCCUUCUUUCUCCGCCGACGUAGACGACGAGGAGGAUCUCAGCUUCCUCGAAGACCCCAAAGAAGAAGUCAAAGCUCUCUCUAAGCCACUUACCGACGACUUCGAAGGAGGAGAGGACGACGACGACGAUGACGGAGAACAUUUCUCCGAUCUAGCCAGCCCAGACUCCGGUCCCUUCCCGGCGCCGGGUGUCGACGAGAAAGACGUUGUGGUCAUCAAAGAGCGCAACUUCACAGACGUGAUCGAGAACAACGAAUACGUCAUGGUUGAGUUCUACGCUCCGUGGUGUGGUCAUUGCCAGUCUCUUGCUCCCGAGUACGCAGCAGCCGCGACGGAGCUUAAAGGGGACGGCGUCGUUUUGGCUAAAAUGGAUGCUACGGUGGAGAAUGAGCUCGCUCAUCAGUAUAGCGUUCAGGGCUUCCCGACGAUUCUCUUCUUCGUAGAUGGCGAGCACAAGCCUUACACCGGAGGAAGGACCAAGUAAGUCAUAAUCUCGAUUUUGAAACUAAAAAGUUUGAAUCUUUUUUUUUUUUUUGUGAUUUGUAUUCAAAGUUCAAAUCUUUAGUGUGAAUUGAAUUGAAACUUCAAAUUUUUAAUGUGAUUUGUUUGACCAAAAAAAAGUGAUUUGUAUUGGAAGUUCAAAUCUUACACUGGAGGCAGGACCAAGUAAGUGAAACUAAAGUUCAAAUCUUUAGUGUGAAUUGUAUUGAAAGUUCAGCUCUUUAGUGUGAUUUGAUUUGAAAGUUCAAAUCUUUAGUGUUUUUGUAUUGGAAGUUCAAAUCUUUGGUGUGAGUUGUAGUGAAAGUUUGAAUCUUUAGUGUUAUUUCUAUUAAAAGUUCAAAUCUUUAGUUUGAUCUUGUAUUAUAAGUUCAAAUGUUUAGUGUUUUUGUAUUGAAAGUUUGUAUCUUUAGUGUAAUUUGUAUUGAAAGUUCAAAUCUUUAGUGUGAGUUGUGUUGAAAGUUCAAAUCUUUUUUUAGUGUGAUUUGACUUGAAAGUUUGAAUCUUUAGUGUGAUUUGAUUUGUAAUUGAAAGUUUAAAUCUUUAGUAUAUGGAAAGGCCAUGGAAACAUGGUUCUUGCUUAGAUAAGUCUCCUCUGUGUUUGAUGUAAAACUAGAUCGUUUGGCUCAAGCAACAGUCACUGUUAACAAAUCUUUUUUUGGUUGAAUUAAUUUAACAUUCUUUCAAAAAAGAAAGAGGAAGUUCAAAUCUUCAGUGUGAAUUGUAUUGAAAGUUCAACUCUUUAGUGUAAAUUGUAUUACUUUGGCGUUUGUUGGAUUUGUUUAAAGGGCAAAUCUCCAAAAUAGCACAUUUCUAAGUUUAUAUCACAAAAAUAACACUCAAAAACUAAAAUGACCAAAAUAGCACUUUUCUAAGUUUAUCAUUUGAAAAUUUUAAUUUUUUUUAUUUUUCAAAAUUUGAAAUCUUAUCCCCAAAACCUCAUUUCUCAACUCUAAACCCUAAACCCUAAACUCUAAACCCUAAACCCUAAACCAUAAACCCUAAGCCCUAAACUCUAAACCCUAAACCCUAAAAUCUAAACCCUAAAAUCUAAACCCUAAACCCUAAACUCUAAACCAUAAACCCUAAACCCUAAAUCCUAAACUCCACUCUUUAACUCUAAACCCUAAGUUUGUGACUUUUGAUAAAACAUUAAGUGCUAUUUUUGUGACUUUUGAACUUGAGUGCUAGUUUGGGA
Molecule: long non-coding RNA, 69431 nt
Filed under: Brassica napus (rape)
Lineage: Eukaryota; Viridiplantae; Streptophyta; Magnoliopsida; Brassicales; Brassicaceae
Description: long non-coding RNA (BNAP_LNC010665)
Source: RNAcentral